Molecule: long non-coding RNA, 81516 nt
Filed under: Gossypium raimondii (Peruvian cotton)
Lineage: Eukaryota; Viridiplantae; Streptophyta; Magnoliopsida; Malvales; Malvaceae
Description: long non-coding RNA (GRAI_LNC005929)
Source: RNAcentral
GUGGAAAUGAAAAAGUUAGGAGAGAACAUGGUUAAAGAUUGUGCAGGGCUUCCAUUAGCCAUUGUUGUAUUGGGAGGAAUUUUGGCUACAAAGAAUAAUUCAUUAAACGAAUGGCAAAAGAUAUCUGACAAUUUAAAAUCAUACUUGAAGAGAGGCAAAAAUCAAGGACCAGAGGAUGUGUUAGCAUUAAGUUAUGAUGAUUUGCCUCCCUAUCUAAGACCAUGUUUCCUCUAUCUAAGCCUUUUUCCGGAGGAUUAUAUGAUAGAUGUGGAUAGAUUGAUUCAAUUAUGGGUUGCUGAAGGUAUUGUGUCAUCAAAGCAAGAAGAAAGAGACGGUGGGGAAAUUGCGGAAGAUGUGGCGGAAUCUUAUUUAAUGGAGCUUGUGGAAAGGUGCAUGAUUCAAGUACGAGAAAGAGAUGUGGCAACCUUAAAGGUCAAAACAAUUCAGAUGCAUGAUCUGAUGAGAGAUCUUUGCUUAUCAAAGGCAAAACAAGAAAAUUUUGUCUUCAUUGUCGAUCAAUCAAAUGCAUCUUCAUUAUCUAUGAUUCGGAAGGUCCGUAGGGUUUCUGUGCAUGAGUUUUUUUUUCAUACAAUGCAUUAAAAGUCCAAAUAUUCGGUCACUUUUGUUCUUCAAUGAGUUCUUUCCGGAGGAGGAAUUAGACAAAUCUUUUCCCUUGGAAGUGUUGAAUUCACUGUAUUUGAUUCUUAUGAUUUCGCGAGCUGGUAUGGGACUCCUUAAAAUUCGGGGAAUUUAGAGAUACAUGUUCAACAACUUCCAAUUGCUAAGAGCCCUAAACUAUGAGAGAACAACAGGUGAUCGUUUUGCAGGGUUUAAGUUACCUAGUGAUAUAGGUAAUCUCAUCCAUUUAAGAUUCUUGAGUCUAAAGGAUCUUGAGUUCUUAUGGCCAAAGUUGCCAUCAUCUCUAGGAAACUUAAGGUGCUUGCAAACCUUGGAUUUAAGAGUUGAUCGUGACAAAAUUCAUGUACCUAAUGUGAUAUGGAGGAUGGAGCAACUAAGACAUUUAUAUCUCCCUUCGAGAUGUGAAAGCAGUACUAAGUUGAAGUUGGGUACUUUGAGAAAACUCCUAACACUUGUGAACUUCAACACCAAGAAUUGUUAUCUGAAGGAUCUUAUCAACAUGACAAAUCUUAGAGAGUUGGGGAUAAAUUUGCCCUUCAAUAUUGAAAAUUUCAAUGAGGAGUUGGGCGAGAAUCCACCCAUAAUCGGAAGUAAAUAUCUUCAUUCCUUGUCUAUUAUUACCUCUGGGUACGAAUCAAUAGAUCCAAGACAUUUGGCCCAUCUCCUUUCAAAUUGUACAAGUAUUUGCAAGUUGAGUAUAGCAGCAGAGAUAAGUAAGUUACCAGAGUAUCACUACUUCUCUUCACAUCUCACUUACNNNNNNNNNNNNNNNNNNNNNNNNNNNNNNNNNNNNNNNNNNNNNNNNNNNNNNNNNNNNNNNNNNNNNNNNNNNNNNNNNNNNNNNNNNNNNNNNNNNNNNNNNNNNNNNNNNNNNNNNNNNNNNNNNNNNNNNNNNNNNNNNNNNNNNNNNNNNNNNNNNNNNNNNNNNNNNNNNNNNNNNNNNNNNNNNNNNNNNNNNNNNCUCUUCAGCGAUUGGAUAUCAGGCAUUGCCCAAGCUUGAAGAUGCUUCCAGAGGGAUUGAGCUCCAUUACAACCCUCAAAGAACUGAAGAUUGAAUCAAUGCCAAAGGCAUUCAAAGAAAGAUUGGAGAAAGGAGGAGAAGAUUUCUACAAAGUCGAACAUGUUCCUUCUAUCAUAUUCCAAAACAUCUGGUAGAUUGACUGAUAAUUGAGAGGUAAUUUCAUAACCUCUAGUUUAGGAAAUGAUUCCUACUUUCUUUGCUUCUUAUAUAUCUUUCGUUUUUGACAUUGUCUCACAUUCUCACUCCAUUUGUCAACACACCAAUGAAUAAUUACAUUUAUUAAAAGUUAAAGGAAGUCGGACAUUGAUCUUUUUAGUUUUGCUUUUCAGGUAAAGACGCCAUUUUUUCACCAGCUACUGCUAUUCACGGGAUCAAAUCUAGAUUUAAAACUCCUAUUAUAAGUGGCGUGUGAAAGUGUGUUAUAUUGUGAGAUUUGGAAUUAUCUUCUCGCUUGUUGACAUCAGACUGGUUGAAUGUUUGUUAUUUUCUUCAAAUUACAAUAAAAAGGUUGCAAGAUAAGGUACGGGAAGAAAGGGAGGUGUCUGGAUUAGCAAGGUACCAAACCCACAUAGCUUUGGUUUACGAUCACCAUUCCUAUCUUUAUUUGUUAGCUUUGCUUUCUCUUUUUAUUUUUUUCUUUUUUUAUCUGUACUUAAUGUAAUAUUAGAAGAGAAGGCAGGACCAUGCUUUUCUAGUUCCAUUGUAAAAUUCAUCACUUCGUUGUCAAUGUUCAUUUCUACUCUUCAGUUUUACUUAAAUAUAAUUGUUUGAUAUAUAUAUAUAUUUAUAUAUAUAUAUAUAUUUGAAUAUGGAUACACGAUAAGAGAAUAUAAUAUUUUUAAUAUUUUCUGUCAUCCUUAACUCAAUAAUCUUUGUUAAGAUAUUAUACCAGGUUCAAUGGUUGCACUUCAUCCCACACUUUCAAAGCAAAAAAUAGGAAAAAUUAAAUAUUACCAACUAAUAACACUUCCAAAUUACAUUGUCUUACAAAAAAAAAAAAGAUACAAUUUGAAUUUUUUUAUCAACAUUUGAUGGUUUAGCAAGCUAUGCUUUAUAAAAGGCAAAGGAAUCUAAGGGAAAAAAAGAUUCCAAUUCAAGAUUUUGUAUCCCCAUGCUUUGCUUCUUAUAUCUACCAACAAUAUCUUGAUGAUAAUAAACUAAAAAAAAAAAAAAAUUCAAGGGAAUCAAAGAUUUCAAAUCCAACUUAAUCGAUUGAAAAUUUCACAUCCACUUAAUUAUUUCAAAUGAUAUUUAUUCAAUAAGUUUAAAUCAAAAACCACAAGAAUCCCCAUUUAUCUUUUAUUCAAAAUGUAAAUCGGAUUCAAUGAAAAUAUUGAACAUAUAAUGUGUGCACAUGGAAAUGUCCAAAUCUUUAAAUAUAGGGUCGACAUGGGAGAAAUCUCCUAAAGAUUUAUAAAAUUCAAUAUGAUCCUAUUAUUUUCGUUAUAAAACUCAAUAUCUUAUUCGGAUUAGGAUACGAGCGAAUAACAGAUAACUAUUUGUAGUUCAAGGUGUGAUAAAAUCUCAGUAGCUAAGAUAUGAAUGUUGCAAAAUACCAUACAAAAUCACAGCCACAUUUGUUAGUAUGACUAUUUUGGGUAAUCAAAGGAAAAAAAUGUUAGCUGUUGAGCAAACAAGGUGAACAGAUUAGAUAUUCCAAUUACGUUCAAGCACUUGACAAAUCCUUUCUGCAAUGGCUUCAGCACGCAUCCUAGGACCUUCAUCAGCUGCAAAAACCGACCAUUUCUAACAACUAAGCUAACAUCACACAUGAUAAUAUAUGUAUAUAACUUAUAUAGAAGAUGAUUAUGUGGAUUAAAAGCUAUGCUAGUUUGACUCAAUACAUGACCAUGGGACAUGCUCGAUUCAUCAAUAACGAUAUGAAAAUACUUGGAAGAAAAAUUAAAUACAUCAAUAUCUAACAUUUACAUCUGAGUUCGAGUAAAGAAAACAUGUCAUUCAAUCUAAACAUGCAAAAUAUCCAAAACUCUUGAUGAGUGUUAGAUAAAAAUAUGUAGAAUGUACCCAAAAUACCCAUCUCGAACUCAGUAGAGAAAUAUCUAGCACUCAAAAGACACUACCUUCAACCAAGAACAAGCAAGUUUCUUCAAAGGCUUGAUAUACUUUCUUCACAGCCAUAUAUAUGUUCAUAUACCCAUAUUAAGGAUGAUUGUUUUGGCAAAGAGGAUGAAAAGAUAGAAAGAAAACCUUUAAUCCAAUGACAAUAUUUGAUUAUAACAACAUGACACAUAUAAUUGUGAUUAAAAUUGCGGUCACAAAUACGUUUGCAAUCACAUCAUGUUAAUGAAUACUAUUGCAAUCAAUUGCAAUAAAUAUCCACAACAACACGAGCCACAAUCCUAAAACAACAAAGAUAAUACAUUACAGCUGUUAAGGAAUUUUCAAUAACGUAUAUACCUGCAAGAUUUUCAGUGAUGACACAAUAAAAUUCACCACCAGACAACUUCCCAAUCUAAUGAAAUUUUCAAACAUAUCAUGUCAUAAGUUUCAAGAUCAACUGAAACAUGCGGAUACCAAGUAUGAUAAGAAAUUAAAUUAAGGAUUUUCUACUGCAAACCUACCACGAAAACAUAAUUUUUAUUAGGAUCAAAGGCAUAGCCCAUCAUGGCAGCAUUAUUGAGUCCAUUUUCAGAGGAAAAUCCUGAAACAUGUUACAGGCAAAUAUUAAGAAAAACAACGCACAAGCAUAAGUAUAAAAAACCUAGCAUGUAAGAAAUCAAUACUUGAAAGGACUAAAAUCACUGCUAACCUAAGACAUUGAAUCUAGCACCACUAGGAAACAUCCGAAAUGAUACUUGUCUUUCAAUGUUGAGAUACAUAGGUCCAAGUCUGCCAUGUUGCGCCAAACGGGAAUUCAUCAACCUCUUGAGAACCUAAAGGAUGAAAAGUUCCAGUCCAAGUUAUAUAUAUACAGACACACACACAGAUAGACAUGAAGAAAGUGGGUUAAUGGUGUAUUAUUUAAGUAAAGAAAAAGUUGAAAUCUUGAACCUCUAAAUAUUGGGUAACAGCGAGUGUUAAAAGUGCAUAAAGUUCUGCUAUUAUCUACAAGAAACAAUGGAGGAAUCACAUACAUUGUUUAUAUUCACUUUUGUUGCUACACAAGCAAGCUGAGUCCAUAAACAAAGGCAUAUCUUUUUCUCCGUUUUUAAAUGGUUUUCUUGUUUUUCGGCUGCUUUUUAUAUUAAGAGACAGAGAUUGUGAGACCUCGUCAUUCUCAAGGAGAAAGUGGUCAAGCAUGAAGAUGAUGGGAAGACCACGAGUCGAUGGUGGUCGAUCCAUGAGUUGAUUAUGAAUAGUUUCAUGUUAUUAAAUAAAAAUGUUAGCUAAAGUUAGUCGAACGCUGUGUUUUAGGGCCGAGGGUUUAAUGAAACUAUAAGUUUUGAUGUUGAAUAAAAAUGGUGCGUAUUGACUGUUUGUUACAGCUGCUCGAGGAACAGCCCUAUAACAGACUUUGUAGCUGCCAAUUCUCAGCCAUAAUAGAAACUGGCAUGGGAAAUGAGCAGAUAUGCCAUUUUGUGAAGGAAAUCAAUUCUUUCUUCUUCCUCGAUUCUCUUUCUCUUCUCUCUUUUUCUUUCUUCCUCUAUUCUGUUGAAAUUAUGCAUCACUUCACCAGCAUUCAUCAUUGUGGACGUAUCUGAUCUUCAGUCUCUGGUUUACUGCCCAUGUAAAGUUAUGGAAAGGAAUGCAAAUUUAAAAGGUUUUCUUGCUAUAGUCUAUGCAAUUUCAUGUGUGGGUGAAAGGAGAUGAAGAUUAAUAGAGUAAUAUUGAUAUACCAACAAUUCAUUAAUUGAAGUACUAUCAAUAUUAUCAACAAGUAACAGAAUUAAGUGAGUACACUAAUAUAGUCUAGAAAAACAAUUUAAUUAAUAAUACCAUAGGGAUGGCAACGGGGUUAAGUUGCUAUUGCUAUUCAUAUCCCUGCCGCUAGCUUUUGACGACUUCACCAAGUAAACUGCAAUCACAAUUGUUGUUCUUAUUACCUGCAAAAACACAGCCAACAAUCUGAAUCCAUAUCCCCAUUUUAGGAACAAAUGCAUGGUGUACCAUUUGUUUCGAAGCCAAAUCAAUUUUCUUAUUUUUUCUUGAAGUAAAACCUUAUCUGACACUUAUAUUCAACACAUAUUCAUGUAUUGGUAUGAAGAUAUGACACUCUUAUCCUAUACUCGUAUCCGUGCUCAGGUAACAUAAGCUGAACCCGCAAGAUAACUGAUUUAACAUCGCAUUGCUGCUAGCUAUUGAUGAUUCCACCAAGUAAACUGCAAUCACAAGUGUUGUUCUUAUUCCUUGCAAAAACACAGUCAACAAUCUGAAUCCACAUUCCCAUUUUCGGAACAAAACCAUGGCGUACCAUUUGUUUCAAAGCCCAAUCAACUUCCUUUACCAUCUUCCCCUUACAAAAACCAUGAAUCAACUUCUUGUAUGAAUCAAAACUAGGAUUAACCCUCUCGAAAACCAUUCUCCCUAUAAUCUCCUUUGCUUCCAUAAACCUCGCAGCAUCAAGCAAACCGUACAACACCUCUUGAUAAGACCCUGCAUUGGGAUAACACCCUUUCUUUUUCAUAAUUUCCAACAGCUUCACACCUUCAUCAGUCCUACCUUGUUUCCUAAGACCUGAGAUCAAGAUAUUAAAGCUAACAGCAUCAGCAUCGAUUCCUUCCGUUUCCAUCCUCCCCAUCAACUCAAAAGCUUCAUCAACCUUCCCCUUAUCGCACAACCCGUGCAUUAAAGUAGAAUAAGUUCUAACAUUAGGCUUACACCUUUGUUUAGGAAAUUCAUCGAGCAGUUGGAAUGCAAACUCUAAUUUCCCAUUUUCACACAACCCUUUAAUGAGAAUAUUCAGAGUACAAGCUUCGAUUUCAACACCCAAAUUGGGAGCUUUCCCAUAAACCUCGUGAACAACAUCAAAUAGUUUGUUCGAUACGAGUAAGCUCAAUACGAUAUUGAAGGUUUUAACACUAGGCCAAGUCCCAUAUUCUGGCAUGCUAAAAAGGAUCUCGAUUGCCCUUUUGAUUCGACCUCCGACAUGCCCAUACUUUUUAAUCACAUGCUGGAAGAAUUCAUCGGAUAAACGACAGGCUUUUUCACGUUUGAGCUUUUCCAUUAUAUUUUCAAUGGAAUCAAAAUCCUGGGCAUAUGCGAGCUUGUUGAUGAGCAAAGUGAAGAGAGGUUCAGUUGGUUUAUAAUCCUUGCGAGCUGAGUAUUGGGCUAGGACUGAAAUGAGAGAGUUUGGAUCUUUAAGAUUGUCAAAGAUUUUGAGGAUUUCGGUCGGGGAGAGCCAGUCUUUGUGGGUUAGUUUGAAAAGGGGAGGGGAAGUGGUGUGGGUUGGUUGAUGGUAGCUGGAAAGUGAGGAGAAAAACGAAAGGGAUUUAAGAGAUGAGAUUUUAGUGGUCAUUGGAUGUUGAAAAAGUGAGGGAAAAUUUUGGGGGUAAGAGCUUUUGACAGAAGAAAGAAGGGAACGUGAAAUCAUGCGUUUGGCCAUUGGAGAAUGUAGAAACUGGAGAGCUAAAAGCUUUGUGCUAUUCGCACUAUAAACAUAUAUAGGGUAAGGGACAGGCUUAAUACUUGUUUUGUCCCCUGUAAUAUAGUAAAAAAUCUCAUUUUGACCCUUUUCCUUUACUUUGUCUGUUUACUUUCAUUUCGUCCAUUGCCUGCUUACUUUCAUUUCGUCCAUCAUGUUAGUCUAUUGAUCAUUUCCGUAAAUCCCAUGUGUUAGGGUUCCUAUAUUAUAGUAUUCAUCCAUAUACUUUAACCCUCCACGUAGUCGCAAUCAAUUGGCUUAAAUGAUCGAGGAUCACUAUAGUAUAAGGACCAAACGUAAACAUGCACUAAUUUUUUUAUACAGAAAUGGUCAAAGGAUUAAAGUGAUAGAUGAAAUGAAAGUAAAGGGCGCAAAGUGAUUGGAAAAGUAGUAAAAUGUUGGAAAAUAUUAAGAGAUUGUAUGAUGCAAAACUUAAAUAAUUUAUCUACUGAAAUUUUGAGGUGUAUUAUUUCGAAGUAAUGAAUCAUUGUUAUUUACAACUAUAUAUUAUAUCUCUUUGAAAUGUACAAAUANNNNNNNNNNNNNNNNNNNNNNNNNNNNNNNNNNNNNNNNNNNNNNNNNNNNNNNNNNNNNNNNNNNNNNNNNNNNNNNNNNNNNNNNNNNNNNNNNNNNCUUCUUCUUCCCUUCAAGAAUUGGUUGGAUUUGGAGGUGCCUAUUGAAAGCCUGGUUGAAAAGGAAUCGAGUUUGGAAUGCCGAAAUGAUCGGAAGCCAUGCCAAUAUAGCAAUUGGAGAGAAAAGGAUCGAUCCCAUUCCGUAAUCAUAUGCCUUAGCUAGUACCUCAGUGAACUGCCAGAGUCCGGUGUUCUCAGUAAUUGGCCUCACAGCUUGAGCAACCUGAAGGGAACUAAAAUGUCAGAGGGAAUAAGGCAAAAGAUGCAAACUCUAGACAAAUACUAUAUGCUGGUCCUCUAAAUAUAUGAACAAAUUUAGAAAAGAACUUGGGUAUGCCCGUAUUUGAUACUUAUUCUUGAAUUCGAGUAACAUAGUCAACUAGACAUACCAAAAUCAGACCCCAUCCAGUCGGCAGAAAUGCAAGACAGCAGACAAGUAAAUCCUUGGACGACAGUUCACAGAUGACUGAGAGAGUGAUAACAAUGGCGAAAACACUUAGGAAGAGGAAUGCUUUAAAGAACCUAAACAUCAGAUGGUAACGAGCACUGAAGAGUUGCCUUCCAACGUUCACUGCCUGUAUGUCAUGUAGAGAUCAAGUUAUCCGUGCAGAAAAUUCAAGGCUACUUCGGAAUUUUCAAAAUAGAACUCAAUAUACUUGAGUAUUAUGAUACUUGAAUGAAUUUUACCUUGACCGUCAGGAAAACUGCAAGAAUCACAACCCAGGAAAGCAUAUAAACAAGGAAAUUUUUGCUCUGUUGGGAGAUGUCAAGAUGAUACACCAAGCCAUACUGAUACAAGAAAAACCGAAUCGAAAGAAGAAUUUCGAACAAUCUAGCACCAUAUCCUGAACGACGAAGGUGAGCUUGUUCAUCAUUCCACCAAGAUUGCCAACUCUUGUUUUGCUGAAUCCCAAUACCACCUUUCUCCUUGAUCCACUUAUUCCAGCCUUUCCAAUCAUCUACAAUCUUGUCCCAAUCGAACCCGGAAGGAUUAAACAAAAAUGGUGCAAAUAACCAAGUCAUGGUCAUGAACCAAACAGAGUACGUGAUUAAUACAUAUGCCAUGCUACUCUGGUAGGACCUCCGGAACAAAUCGUAAACCACUAACAGGAGCAACAGUUCAAAUCCUUUAACAAAGUGGCUUCGUGAAUACAAUCUGUAGUUCUCAGUAAAGCUGGCAUGAAACACCACAACCUUACGUCCGGUAGGUAUAUACUUAGCUCCGCCAUACAUAAUUGUCCGACCAAAAUGAUGGGUUUUUGUCCCAAGGGAAAAAGUGAAGAAAACAGCAGCAAACUGCAGUUGCAUAAGAACAAAAUCUUUAAGGGCCGUAAGAAAUCCCUUCUCAAGUCCGAUCUCCAUUACCAUCGGUAAGCCAGUUAAAAGACCAAGCUGAAUAAACGAUUGAGAAGCAAGAGCAGUUUCCAAUGAUUCAGUGUUUUUCAUUCUAGCCUCAAUGAGGAGUGCCUUUUCUAGUCCACUAAGAACAAGGUAUAGUUGUCCGUAGAGGAACACAUAAAUUCCGAGUACAGAAAUCUGGUUUUUUACAGAUCAUAAGACGGGAAAGGCAAAAAUCAGAAAAGCAUCAUACAGAGAUAAAUAGGAAUCGGAUCAGGUAACCUUGUUUAGUGUGAGAGAAUUACCAGGCUGCUGAAGUAAAAUCCAAUGGUUGUGAAAUAGCAAGAUAGCAUCCUAAAANNNNNNNNNNNNNNNNNNNNNNNNNNNNNNNNNNNNNNNNNNNNNNNNNNNNNNNNNNNNNNNNNNNNNNNNNNNNNNNNNNNNNNNNNNNNNNNNNNNNNNNNNNNNNNNNNNNNNNNNNNNNNNNNNNNNNNNNNNNNNNNNNNNNNNNNNNNNNNNNNNNNNNNNNNNNNNNNNNNNNNNNNNNNNNNNNNNNNNNNNNNNNNNNNNNNNNNNNNNNNNNNNNNNNNNNNNNNNNNNNNNNNNNNNNNNNNNNNNNNNNNNNNNNNNNNNNNNNNNNNNNNNNNNNNNNNNNNNNNNNNNNNNNNNNNNNNNNNNNNNNNNNNNNNNNNNNNNNNNNNNNNNNNNNNNNNNNNNNNNNNNNNNNNNNNNNNNNNNNNNNNNNNNNNNNNNNNNNNNNNNNNNNNNNNNNNNNNNNNNNNNNNNNNNNNNNNNNNNNNNNNNNNNNNNNNNNNNNNNNNNNNNNNNNNNNNNNNNNNNNNNNNNNNNNNNNNNNNNNNNNNNNNNNNNNNNNNNNNNNNNNNNNNNNNNNNNNNNNNNNNNNNNNNNNNNNNNNNNNNNNNNNNNNNNNNNNNNNNNNNNNNNNNNNNNNNNNNNNNNNNNNNNNNNNNNNNNNNNNNNNNNNNNNNNNNNNNNNNNNNNNNNNNNNNNNNNNNNNNNNNAAGGUCCUUACCAAACUUAAGGGCUGAAAGCAGCAAACGUUAUCUUGAAGGGGAAGGGAGGUUCUUAUUAAAGCAGUAGCAUGCGCUUCAAUGUAUACGAUAUCUUUUCGAAUUUCCUAAAAACUUAUGCGUGGAAAUGAAUUCAGCUUUGCAUCAGGAUCCUGAUCCAGAAUAUUGUGCAGCUUCUGGACGAAGGGUCAACUAUGAUAAAAACAAGUAGGACUAACUAGCCCAAAGAGCAUCAGGAUCCUGGACUAACUGUCAAGAUUGUUUUGCAAGUAGAGGAAGUCCUCCAAGCUUUUCAAUGGAUACGUCUCUCAUUUUCCUUCUGCUGAAUUCAUUUCCACGCAUAAGUUUUUAGGAAAUUCGAAAAGAUAUCGUAUACAUUGAAGCGCAUGCUACUGCUUUAAUAAGAACCUCCAUUCCCCUUCAAGAUAACGUUUGCUGCUUUCAGCCCUUAAGUUUGGUAAGGACCUUUAUAUAUAUAUAUAUAUGGUUAAAGUAAGGACCUUAUCUUUGAUAUGCCUCAAAGUUAAUGUUUUCGAAAGCCCCCACAAAGAAGGGACACCCAAGUAGGCGUCCGAAUUAUUUGCCACCUCUAAGGUAGUCUCUUCUUGAAUCAACCUUUCGUUGUCCCUUUGGGAGUAUUCACACUAAAAACGUUGCUUGAUUUAUCAUAGUUGACCCUUCGUCCAGAAGCUGCACAAUAUUCUUGAAUCAAGUUAAUCAUUCUCCUACAAUUUAAUGAACUAGCUUCCAAAAAGAAUAGAAAUCGUUCGUGAAUAACAAAUGUGACACUACUGGAUAAUGACUACNNNNNNNNNNNNNNNNNNNNNNNNNNNNNNNNNNNNNNNNNNNNNNNNNNNNNNNNNNNNNNNNNNNNNNNNNNNNNNNNNNNNNNNNNNNNNNNNNNNNAACUCCUUUCAAUAUAUUCACCAUGAUCUUCGAUAUGAUUUAAUACUUAAAAUUAUAAGGAAUAAUUGACCUAAUUAAAUUAUGUCAUUAAUUCAAGACAUUUAGUUUUCAGAAGUAAAAUUAUCUCAAUCUCGUUCGAAAAUUUCCCUUCCCUAAAAAAAAAACUCUUAAUAGCUUCCAAAACAUCCUUUUUAAUAAUUUCCCAAUAAUUAUGAUAGAAAAUCCCGUUAAAAUCAUCCACGAAAAAAGAGAUUAAUUUAAUUGUUUUGUAUGCUUAACUUGUACAAUAUAAGUAAAAUAUUAUAAUUUUAUCUCCAAAUUCUCUCAACACAUCUUUCUGACCCUUGUUUAUAAUCUCAUUUGUAUCUAGCAGGAUAUCCAAUUUAAAAUUAAAUAAUUUUUUUUAUAAUUCUUUAAAUAUUAAAAAUAUUUUCCUCUAUUAUUAUUUUUUGUUGUUGGAGUAUUAAAUAUUAGCCUUAAAACCAUAAGGCAUGAACUAUUCCAAACAACCCUUAAAAAGAUAUGUAAAUUUUGUUUUUGAAUAUCAUUUUUACUUUUUUAGGUUUCAAAUUGGAUAGUGAAUUAUAUAUUUAUUUAUUCGAAACUCCUCUUAAAUUAAUAAGAGUGAAGUUUCUUAUUUAGUAUUGAUUGUUCCAUAAAAUAUUCAAAGUUUUCAAAGUUUUCAAAUAGAUUUAUUUUUUUAAGUGUAGUUAAUAACCUCAAUAAAAAUUAAACUUUAUAAGUGAUGAAUUUAUAUUAAAAAUUGUUUGAUAAAUUCAUAAAAUAUAAGUUUGGGUUCAUCUACUUUUACAUUUCUUUUACCUAUUUAAAUUAUUUCUUAAUUUUUCUUAUUUUUUAAAAAAUUAUUCUUAAUUUUUUAUACAGGAAAAAUAAUCGACGAGGAAAUGAAAAAGUUAGGAGAGAACAUGGUUCAACAUUGUGCAGGGCUUCCAUUAGCCAUUGUUGUAUUGGGAGGAAUUUUAGCUACAAAGAAUAAUUCAUUAAACGAAUGGCGAAAGAUAUCUGACAAUGUAAAAUCCUACUUGAAGAAGGGCAAAAAUCAAAGACUAGAGGAUGUGUUAGCAUUAAGUUAUGAUGAUUUGCCUCCCUAUCUAAGACCAUGUUUCCUCUAUCUAAGCCAUUUUCCGGAGGAUUAUAUGAUAGAUGUGGAUAGAUUGAUUCAAUUAUGGGUUGCUGAAGGUAUUGUGUCAUCAAAGCAAGAAGAAAGAGAUGGUGGGGAAAUUGUGGAAGAUGUGGCGGAAUCUUAUUUAAUGGAGCUUGUGGAAAGGUGCAUGAUUCAAGUACGAGAAAGAGAUGUGGCAACCUUAAAGGUCAAAACAAUUCAGAUGCAUGAUCUGAUGAGAGAUCUUUGCUUAUCAAAAGCAAAACAAGAAAAUCUUGUCUUCAUUGUUGAUCGACCGAAUGCAUCUUCGUUAUCUAUGAUUCGGAAGGUUCAUAGGGUUUCUGUGCAUGAGUUUUUUUUCAUACAAUGCAUUAAAAGUCCAAAUAUUUAGUCACUUUUGUUCUUCAAUGAGUUCUUUCCGAAGGAGGCAAUUGAAAAAUCUUUGCCCUUGAAAGUGUUGAAUUACGUUGAAGAACAUGAAGAUGAUGAUUGUAAUCCACUAUUUUGGAUUCUUAUAACUUUGGCACGUUCUACAGGACGUCAUAAAAUUCACGAAAUUUGUAGAUACAUGUUCAACAACUUCAAAUUGCUAAGAGUCCUAAACUAUGAGAUAAGAACAAGAAGAACACGUGAUCUUUUUGGAGGGUGGAAGUUACCCAGUGAUAUAGGUAAUCUCGUCCAUUUAAGAUUCUUGAGUCUAAGGAAUUUUGAGUUCCAACGGUCAAAGUUGCCAUCAUCUCUAGGCAACUUAAGGUGCUUGCAAACCUUGGAUUUAAGAGUUGAUGACAGAAUUCAUGUACCUAAUGUGAAAUGGAGGAUGGAGCAACUAAGACAUUUAUAUCUCCCUUUGAGAUGUAAAAGCAGAACUAAGUUGAAGUUGGGUACUUUGACAAAACUCCUAACACUUGUGAACUUCAAGACCAAGAAUUGUUAUCUGAAGGAUCUUAUCAACAUGACAAAUCUUAGAGAGUUGGGGAUAAAUUUGCCCUUCAAUAUUGAAAAUUUCAAUGAGAAGGAGUUGGGCGAGAAUCCACCCAUAAUCGGAAGUAAAUAUCUUCAUUCCUUGUCUAUUACCUAUGAAGAAGGACUGAAAAUAUUUACUUUAUUUUCUAUUGAUGUCAUUAUGAAAUCCUGGUCAAAAAUAGAUCCAAGACAUUUGGCCCACCUCCUUUCAAAUUGUACUAGUAUUUGCAAGUUGAGUAUAACAAGAGUGAUAAGUGAGUUACCAGAGUAUCACUACUUCUCUUCCCAUCUCGCUUACAUACGGUUGAUAUGUUGUAAGUUUGAGGAAGAUCCAAUGCCAACACUAGAGAAGCUGCCUAACUUAAGGAUUCUUGAACUCAAAUAUACUUCAGAAGGAAAGGAAAUGUUUUGCUCUGCUCAGGGUUUUCCUAAACUUGAGUCUCUAAUCCUUGCGGAGCUCUACAAAUUGGAGGAGUGGAAGGUGGAUGAAGGAGCCAUGCCUUCUCUUCAGCGAUUGGAGAUUGAGGAAUGUGGAAACUUGAAGAUGCUUCCAGAGGGAUUGAGGUUCAUUACAACCCUCAAAGAACUGAAGCUUGAAUUAAUGCCAAAGGCAUUCAAAGAUAGAUUAGAGGAAGGAGGAGAAGAUUUCUGCAAAGUCAAACAUGUUCCUUCUGUCAUAUUCCAAAAAUGUGGCUAAUAGAUUGAAUGAUAAUUGAGAGGUAAUUUCAUAACCUCUGGUUUAGGAAAUGAUUCCUACUUUCUUUGCUUCUUAUAUAUCUUUUGUUUUUGACAAUGUCUCACAUUCUCACUCACUUUGUCAACACACCAAUGAAUAAUUACAUUUAUUGAAAGUCAAAGGAAGUGAGACAUUGAUAUUUUUAGUUUUUCUUUUCAGGUAAAGACGCCAUUUUUUCACCUGCUACUGCUAUUCACGGGAUCAAAUCUAGAUUUAAAACUCCUAUUAUAAGUGGCAUGUGAAAGUGUGUUAUAUGGUGAGAUUUGGAAUUAUGUUCUCUCUUGUAUAUAUCUGUGGUUGUUGACUGUUUGUUGUUUUCUUCAAAUUACAAUAAAACGGUUGCAAGAUAUGGUAUUGGAAGAAUGGGAGGUGUCUGGAUUAGCAAGGUACCAAACUCCUCCUCCAUUUCAAUUUCCUUCAAUCUAAUUUAAUUACACGUUCAUUUUUGUCUUUUAAAACAUAAAAUUGCAGAUAAGGAGACGUCACUGACCUUUGUUCCCACAUAGCUUUGGUUUGCGCCUUUGCGGUGACCAUUCCUAUAUUUAUUUGUUAGCUUUGCUUUCUCUGCUUGAGUCUUUCUCUUUUUUCUUUUUUCUUUUUUUUAUAUGCACUUAAUGUAAUAUUAGAAGCCAAGGCAGGACCAUGCUUUUCUAUUGUAAAAUUCAUCACUUUGUUGUCUAUGUUCAUUUCUACUUUUCAUUUGAUAUAUAUUUGAAUAUGGAGAAUAUAAUCUUUUUAAUAUAUACAUAUUUUAGAAAAAAAAUGAAUAUAUGUAUGUUUGACAUAUUUCCCGUUUCAACAUAUUUCCUUAUUUUAUGCAAGUCAAUUGGCAUUUAACCAAAUAAAUUUAAUUGCUUCAGUUUGAGUUAAAAUUAAAAUUUCAAAAUUAAAAAAAAAAUACAAAAAAUAAAGUUGACAAAUUCAAAAAUAUACAUAUUAAAAUUGAUCAAAUUAAAAGUGCACUGGCUAACCUUAAUUUUUUUGUUAAUCUUUCUUUUCGAUUAAUUAAAUGUCCAUGACGUAUAUUAUAUAUCUUAAUAUAUAAAUAUUUUUAAAAAAAUUAAAUAUAUGUAGGUUGGACACAUAUUCAAGUUUGAUAUUCGUCUUAAAUUCGUGCAAUACGGUUAAAUAUUGGUGAAUUAGUAGUUGAUGAAGUAUUAUAUACAUUCUUGGAAUAUUGCUCUAUUCAACGAAUUUAUUUCAGCUCCAUAUGCUUAAAACGCCUCCCAUUUCUAACAUAUUUCCUCAUUUUGGGUAACUCGAUUGGUAUACAAUGUAGUCUUUUUCAUUGUUUAGUAUCCUAAUCCUUAACUCAAUAAUCUUUGUUACAAUAGGGUUUAAUGAUUGCAAUUCAUCUCGAUGCUUCCGAAGCAAAAAAAAAAAAAAUCAAAUUUUACCGGUUAAUUACAUGUCAACACAUAUAAUCCACGAUAUGUUUAUCUGAAAGAUUAAAUAAGAUUAACUAAAUCACAAAGAAAAUAAACGAGUAAACAUAAUCUAGAAAUUCCAAAUUACAUUAUCUAACAAAAAUUCAAUAAGAAAUAAAUGGUUGCAUUUCAUUCUUUAGGGAUUUGCUCUUAUAUCUUCCAACAAUAGCUUGAUGAUAAUAAGCUGAAAAAGAAAAGGAGUCCAAGGGAAUUGAAGAUUCUUAAUUCAGCUAGCUUAAUUGAUUGAAUACUUCAAAUACACUUAAUUAAUACCAAUUAUAUUUAUCAAUAAAUCUAAAAUUUGAAUCCCUCAUUUGCAACCUAUUUUGUAAAAACUGCCAAAUGAAAUCAAAUUAUCUUGUUUCAAUUCUCUUCAAAUUUUAGUUUACAACUUCUAUUUUUGGGUUUCCAUUUGUUUCUACUUUUAAAGCAAACAUUGAUUCAAGAAAUAUUUAUUUCAUUUGGCUUAUUUUCUUUUCUAUUUUUAUGCUAUUCAGAUUCGAUGAAAUAUUGAACAUAAUAUGUGUGCAAGUUAGAUGUCCGAGUCUUGAAAUGUAAGAUCGAAACGGGAGAAAUAUCCUAAAACCCGAUGCUUAAAGAUUUAUAAAAUUUAGUAUAAUCAUGUUGUUUUCAUUAUUAUAAAACUCAAUGUUAAAAUGUCUAUGAUUUGAAUUAUGAUACAAGAGAAAAAUAGCUAACUAUUUUAAGUUCAAGGUGUGAGAAAACCUCAAUAUCUAAGAUAUGAAUGUUGUAAAGUACCACUCAAUCACAGCCACAUUUGUUAGUAUGACUACUUUGGAUGAAAAGUUCUAUUCCAAGUUAUAUAUACACACAGAAAUACACAUGAAGUGGAUUAAUGGUGUAUUAUUAAGUAAAGGAAAACGGUUCUAACUAAAAGAAAGAGUUGAAAUCUUGAACCUCCAAAUAUUGGGUAACCGCUGGUGUUAAAAAGUGCAUAAAGGUCCGCGCUUAUCUACAAGAAAUAAUGGAGGAAUCGCAUACGCUGUUUAUAUUCAUUUUUUUUGCUCCACAAGCAAUCCGAAACCAUAAACAAAGGAGUACUUUUUUGCCUUUUUUAAAUGGUUUUCUUGUUUCUUUUCCGCUUUUCAAAUUCUUCAUUCAAUUCAAGUUCAAGAAACCAUACUAAAUAUAUAUAUAUGUUUAUAUUCGCUUUUCUUGCUACACAAGCAAGCCAAAACCAUAAACAAAGGCAUGCAUUUUAUUUCCUUUUUUAAUGGUUUUCUUGAUUCUUUGUUGUUUUUAAAAUUCUUCAUUCAAUUCAAGUUCAAGAAACCAUACUAAAAUAUAUAUUUAUAUUCGCUUUUUUUGCUACACAAGCAAGCUGAAACCAUAAACAAAGGCAUACAUUUUUUCCUUUUUUAAAUGCAUUUUUUUUUUUGUUUCUUUGUUGUUUUUUAGAUUCUUCAUUCAAUUCAAGUUCAAGAAAUCAUACUAAUUAUAUAUGUUUAUAUUCACUUUUCUUGCUACAUAAGCAAGCCGAAACUAUAAACAAAGGCAUACCUUUUUUUCCCCUUUUUAUCUUGCUGCUUUUUAGAUUUUUCAUUCAAUUCAAGUUUAAGAAAUCAUACUAUAUAUAUACCAUACUAUAUAUAUAUAUAUGUUUAUAUUCACUUUUCUUGCUACACAAGUCAACUGAAACCAUAAACAAAGGCAUAACUUUUUCGCUUUUUUUAAAAUGAUUUUUUUUCUUUGCUACUUUUUUAAAUUUUUAUUCAAUUUAAGUUUAAAAAACCCUACUAAAUAUAUAUAUAUAUAUAUAUAUAUUAAGAGAGAGACAUCAUCAUCCUCAAGGAGUAAGUGGUUAAGCAUGAACUUGAUGGGAAGGCCACAAGUCGGUGGUGGUCAAAUCAUGAGUUGAUUAUGAUUAGUUUCAUGUUAUGGAAAAAAGAUGCUAGUUAAAAUUAGUUACUUGACCGUUGCAUUUUGAGGUUGAGAGUUUAAUGAAACGAUACGCUUUGAUGUUUAAUGAAAACGGUGCGUAUUGAAAGUUUGAUACAACUAAUCGAAUAACAAGCCUGUAACAACUUUGUAACUACCAAUUCCUCGCUUUAAAAAAAUAUUCCAAAUAUGUUUUCUCACCUUAUCAUUUUUGUUAUUUUUCAAGCCCCCUUACCAUUUUAUAUUUUUAAUGGGUAUAUUAUAAAAAUAGUCACCUAGGUAUUGCUUUCAUUCUAUUUUAUUCACUAAGUUAUUAAUUUUUUCGAUUUAAUUACUAAAUUUUUUUAAAUUAAAUAUUUUGAUCACUCUCCCAUUAGUUAUCAUUAGAUAAGUGAUAGGAAGUUAAUGUGGGCUUUUUUUAUUAGUCUAAUAACAAAUUUAGUCAUCUAAUGUUUACACAUUCUAUUAAAUUGAUUUUAAAUAUAAAAUGUUCAAUAGCUUUAAACCUAAAUGUUUACCAAAUCUAUUGUUAUAGUUCAAAUCCUAAAAAUUUCAAUAAAUUUAAUCCUCAAAAUUUGUAAAUUUAAUUUUAAUUCUAACUCAUGGAUGAAUUAAGCAAAUUAAAUCAAAUCAAAUCAAUCGAACAAAGAAUUUAAUUAAAAAGAAAUUCUUCACAUGCAUCAAGGAGGGACUUCCUCUGGUGGUAUCAAGGGGAUUGAUAGAAACAGCUCAGGCUCGAACAAGAACUUCACUGGGCUUAAGAUCAGGAACAGACACAUCGGAUCAAAGCUGCAACACCUCAGGUCCACCGAACCGAGGCAGCAACACCGCCCUGCAACUGUUGGCAUAGCACCGAAUUGAACCCACUUUCAAUGAUAUGAUAACUCCAUAAAGGGUUUGGGUUUUAAGCUUUGAAAGUUCCCCUUUUUCUUCUCAAAUUUUCUGAACUUCAGCUCCUUCCUUUUGUUAAAUGAAGGAAAAGCAAAGGAGAGACACCGAAGUGUUUUAAUCCACAUAGAAAAUAGUGAUUAUGUGACUUGUGAGUGUUGGCCUGGGGUCUUGGAAGAAGAAGAUGAAUAUUGCAUAAUCGAUUUUUAAUUGCUUACUACAUUCAUAAUUAAAUAAAUAAAAAUUUCUAACCUUAUCAAUUAAAUCAAGUUAGAAUGUUCAACUUGAUUUUUGUUUGUUAUAAGGAUCAUAUAUUAUAAAACUUAAUUUUAUUUUAAUAAUUAUAUAAUAUUAUUUUUAAUUAUAUCAUCUGAUACCAUCUUGAGGGCUAAAUUUAGAAUUAAAAUUAAAUUGACAAAUUUUAGAAAUUUUGAGCUUAAAUUUAUUUUUAUUUUUAGGAAUUUGAAAUAAAAUGAGAAAUUUUGUAAAUAUUGAGGAUUAAAUUUGUUGGAAAUUUUAUAUUUAGAAUCAAAUGGUAGAAUGUCUAAACAUUAGGGGGCUAAAUUUAUUAUUAGACCAAUAAAAACAAGUUCAUAUCAAUUUCCCGUCACUCAUCUAAUUGCAACUAAUGAGGAAGUGAUGAAAAUAUUUAACUUCUAAAAAUUUAAUGACUAAAUAAAAAAAUUAACAUUUAAGUGAUCAAAAUAGAAUGAAAUCAAUAAUUUGAUGAGCAUUUUUGUACUGUACCCUAUCUUAAUCCAUCUCACAACCAAAUUUCUCCGUCUUUGCCUAAGUUCUGUGUCUUUGUCAAAUUUUAAUAGAAUUAACAUUUUUAUUUAAAAAAUAUCUUUAAUCGUUUAAUAUAUUUUUAAUAAGUAAAUGUUAAUUCCGUUAAGGGUCAGUUUGUUUACACGUAAAAAGUUAAAAAUAAAAAUAUUGAGUUCUAUAAUAUGAGUCUAUUGAACCGAUUCAAUCAUAAAUUUUAUUAUUAUUGGUUUAUAUAAUGGUUUGAUUUUGAAAAUAUUUGGUUUAACAUUUAGUCAUCCCUUUGAUCAAUUUUAAAUUUUAGAAAUAAUUUUGUUUUUUGUUUACAUUUAAAUGUACAGUUUCUAAUGCAUAUGUGUUACAUUUGAUUUCAAGCCAUUAAUCCUUAAUUACUUUUUAAAAUAAUAGUUUCUUUUAGUUUUUAAAUAAUGUAUAAAUUUAUAAUUAUAUAAGAAAGUAAACUAUAAUAUUAAAUUUUUAAAAAUUAAGUAAAACAACAUGCAAUAAUUUUCAUAAUAAUUAAUGAUAAAUAAGAAAAAUAUUCACAAUUAUAAAACAAACCGUUUAAGAGUAUAUAAACUACUUAUACAAAAUUCUUUUAAAUCAAAGAUGAAAUUAUAUAUAUAUAAAUAACAAAUGAAAUUAUAUAUACAAAUUUAUAAGUGAAAAAUAUACAUAAUUAUAUUCAUAAAAAGUACAUAUGACAAUAUACAAACAAGGCUAUAAAGUAAUUCAUAGGAACAUGGCUUUCUUGUUAGUAUUCUCAUUCUUUUUUUAACAUACCUUUCUUGCUUGUGUUCUCAUUCUAUUAUGAAUAUACCUUUCUUGUUCGUAUUCUCGUUCUAUUGAUGAUUAAUGUUGCUUUAUAAUUGUUUAUAAAUUUAAUAGAACUAUAUAUUACUACUAAAAGUAUAAAAGGGCAAUGAUUUGCAAUUGUUUUUAUAAUUAAGUACUGGUUCUUGCAAUUGUUUUCCCAGCAAGAUUGCGGCACUCACAUCUUGAAAUCCAAAUUCAAGAUUUUAAAGAAUUUUCUGAGCUCGAUAGCUAUUAUGGCUUGGUCUGCUGUGACAUCUGCAGUGACAACAAUUGGCAACCUGCUAACUCAGGAAGCCAUAUACCUAUGGGGCGUGGAGGAGCAAGUUGAUCGUCUGCAAACAGAGCUCAAAUGGAUGCAAAGCUCCUUAAUGGUGGCAGAGACAAAACAAUCAACGGAUGAGAGGAUUCGUCUUUGGGUUGCUGAAAUCAGAGAGCUUGCUUAUGAUGCUGAGGAUAUUGUUGAGGAAUUUGCUCUCAAGAUUGGAUCCAAAAACAAAGGUGGCCUUCCGAGUUGUAUUAAAAGAUCAGCCUGCUGUUUGAAAGAGGGAUGGGUGCUCCAUGAAACCAGGUCAAAGAUCGAGAAAAUCAUAGAAAGAGUCAGCGACUUGGUCCGACGACUACAGGCCUACGGCGUAAAGGAAUUAAAUCCCAGAGGAGAAGGAUCAAGUUUUUCAACUGAAAUACGAGAAUCAAGGCGGCCUUAUCCACAUAUUAUGGAUGAUAAUAUUGUUGGACUAGUUGAUGAUACCAAGGGAUUGGUCGAAGUUCUUACGAAGGAAAGUGGAUGCAAGGUUGUUACAAUAUGGGGCAUGGGUGGUCUGGGAAAGACCACUCUCGCCAAGAAAAUAUAUCACCAUGGUGAGGUUAUUGAUUAUUUCGAUCACUUGGCUUUUGUAUAUGUUUCUCAACCAUGCCGGAAAAGAAAUGUUUGGGAAGACAUUUUAUCUGGUUUCAAAACUUUAGAUAAAGAGGACAGGAAGAUAACAGAUGCAGAAUUAGCAGGGAAGUUGAGUAAAACUUUGAAGGAUAAAAAGUGUCUGGUGAUACUUGAUGAUGUUUGGACCAGUGAAGCUUGGGAUAGUCUAAAACCUGCCUUUCCAGUUGAUAGCAAAAGCAAGAUAUUGCUCACCUCUAGAAACAGGGGGAUAGUUUCAUAUGCUGACAUAAAAGGUAAAAUUUUCUUAAUUAGGUAAAAUUGAAUACUCUUAUUCCUUUGAUGGAAAAUAACCAUGUAUAUUAUUUCAGAGUUGAAGUGCCUAAACGAUGAAGAAAGUUGGGAAUUGUUUCAAAAGAUUGUAUUUCCUCAAACAGGUAAAUAUACAUAUAGCAAAAUUCUUGUUAUACGCUAAAUUUAUUUUUCAUUUUUAAUUUUUUUGACAAUAAUUAAAUUUAAAAAUAUAUAAAAUCUAUUUUAUUUAAAAAUUUCAAAACCUUAAUAUGAAAUAAAUAAAAGAAAUCAAGGCUUUGUAGUUUAUCAGCUAAUGGUACACGCAAGUAAAUAUAAUUAAUAGGUAAAUUCAUUAUCUUUUAUAUUAUAUAUUUUUAAUAACUUUGCUAUUAGUUACCGAGAAUAAAUUAUAUUAGGAUCAUCUUAAAAAAAUAUAAAUUUUAGGCACCAAUAAAAUAAUGUUACAUCGUUAAAUUUUUAAGAUAACAAAGAAUUAUUAUACACUCAUUUAUAUUUAAUAUUUUCUCCAACUUAAUUUAACUUUAAUUAAAUUAUUUAAAAUAAUUAAUUUUUUAAAUUAUAGACAAACAUCUUUUCUUCUUUUACAAAAUUUAAUCAUUUUUUUAUAAGUUAAUAUUUUUUUUAUUUUUGUGCAACCAUUUUUUAAAAAAAUAGUAAUUUUUGUGCAAUAUUUUUCAUGUCAUUGACACAUAAUUUUGAUAAUUAUUUUAUCCUGAACCCAAAACCCCGAACCUUGAACUCGAACCCUAAACCCUGAACCUAAACCUUGAGCCCUGAAUCUCAUAAUUUAAGGUUUGGAUUCGAGAUUUAAAGCUCAGAAUUCGAAGUUCAAGUUUAAAGUUUAAGGGUUCAGGUGGGUUACGAGUUUAGGAUUCAUGGUUCAAGGGUUUGGGGUUGCAAGUUUGGAGUUUUAUGUUUUGGAUCUAGGUUUAGAAUUAUAGAUUUAGGGUUCAGGUAAAAAAUUUACCAAAAUUAUGUGUCAAUGACAUGGAAAAAAUUGUUGAAAUGUUAUUAAAUAAUUGGAAAGGGACCAUGAAUAAUGUGGUCAGAAGAGUCCAUAAAAUAAUUUCUCUAUGGAUGAGUGUAUAAUAAUUUAUGUCUUUAAAAUUUGAUGAUGUGACAAAAAAAAUUUAAUUUUUAGGAUCUUCCUAAUGUAAGUUAUUACCUUAUCUUAAUUAUUGGACUAUAUGCUUGUUUAGUUUCUUAAGCACUUUCAUGGUAUUCUUUUAUACGUUUAUCCUGGAUCCUUGCAUCAGAAAGAUUGAGGUGCAGGUAAACCAUUCUUAUCAAGAGUAAAGCCUAAGAAAGAUGUAGUUGAUUCGAACAACUAGCACAUCUCUUUAUGACCCUAUUUAGCAAACCAAUCCACUAACCUAUUGGCUUCUCGUCUGAUAACAUUGACUUUCAAAGAAGAAAGUUGCAUGACCAGCAUAUCAAAAACCUAAAGGACUAGCCUUAAUCUCCAUCUUCGAUCUUGACUUUUCUUCUUAAUGUUAGAAGCAAUAGUCUGGGAGUUAGUCUUGAUUGUCACAUUGGUCCAUUUGUUCUUCAUAGUUAAUUCAAUCCAUCCAACCAUAGCUUUAGCCUCGACAACCUUACAUGAAUCCACUUAAUCCUUUUACCAAUCCCAUCCAGAAUCUUCCCACUUAAAUUUCUGCCUAUUUCUCUAAUACCGGCACAAGCUAUUAAGGUGUCAAAUGCCCCAUCACAAUUAACUUUAACCCAACCUUCUGGUGAUUUCUCCCAAAUAUCAGCACAAGUAUUUGACUUCCUAGUUCGAUCAGAGUUAUUGUUUGAACAGAGGAUCCAUUGAGCAGAUAAGAAUUCAUUCAUGGAGCAAUUAAUCCUUCGAAUAAUUCUCUCCAAACCAAGUUUCACACCUCCGAUUGUAACCUCACACCUAGCUUUCCAGAUGUGGUAACAAGUGAAAACAAUUCUAACUUGAAAAUCCUCCCUCAUACAAGGCAUUUGUAACAACUUAGAGAACCAUCUGUCAAAUGAUUGAGUUUGAUCAUUUAGCCCUUAAAGACCAAAACAAGCAUCAUACUAUAUUCCCCUAACCCUAUUACAACUAAGAAUAAUAUGUUCAAAGUCUCAUCUUCAAUACCACAUAAACAACAAAUUGUGUUCGAAAAACAUUUUCUUUUCCUCGGAUUAAAACGAGAUGGAAUAGCAUUAUGACACAAUUUCCAUAAGAAAAUUUUAAUUUUUUUCAGUACCUGUAAGCUCCAAAUAGCUUUCUGAGUGCUCCUAUCAAUUAAGUGAGAGCUGGAAGAUUGUAAAGAAGACUCAUUUCCAUAGUGCUUUCUCAUCUCCUUAUACCCUGACUUCAUCAAAUAUUGACCAACAGCUGUAAACGGCCACACCAAUUUAUCUUGUUCAUCUGUUUCAUGAACGGGAACUGUUGGAAAUUGCCAAUCAUUCUGCUGUUACAUUUUUUGGUUGAAGUGCAUGCAGAAAAAAAAUGUUAGAAAUUUGCCAACCAUGCUGCUGUUACAUUUUUUGGUUGAAGUGCAUGCAGCUUGAUGACAUGUUGCAUGCACUUCAACCAAAAAAAUGUAACAGCAACAUGGUUGGCCAAUUUCCAACACUCCUCCUUGGACUCUAUGCUGCAAAUACCAGUCAUUCAUUAAGUUUUUGAACUUGGCAGUCCUUAGAUGCUUUGUUUCAAGCUAACUCUUCUCAAGCAAUUCAUUUUCAACAUUGGCUUCAUUCUCAACCAAAUCUGACUUACACACUUGACUAUACCACUCUUUUGUGCCAAAGAUUUGUCCAUCAAAUGGAGUAUUCUCCUCUUUCACAGCCUUGGUUGACAACUUGCCUUUAAACUCAUCUUUUCUUUCUUGCCUUGUCCCUUUACUCAUUACAAUCCUGUUUCUUCUUGCACAAACAGUUCAUGAGUAUAGUUUGCUUGCCUUCAGUCUGCCAUUUUGGCUUGCACCUACUCGAGCUUGCAUUUAAACUGUUUGCCACUUUGGCUUGCAAUUCGAUAAGCUCACACUUUGACAAGCUCACACUUUGCUUACUGUCUUCAACAGGCUCGCAACUUUACAACUCGCAUUGAGCUUCCACAUGUUGCUGAGCUCACACCCAAAGUUAAUGAUUUCGAAAGCCCCCACAAAGAAGGGACACCCAAGUAGACGUCCGCAUUAUUUACCACCUCUAUGUUAGUCUCUUCUUGAAUCAACCUUUCGUUGUCCCUUCGGGAGUAUUCACACUAAAAACGUUGCUUGAUUUAUCAUAAUUGACCCUUCGUCUAGAAGUUGCACAAUAUUCUUGAAUCAAGUUAAUCAUUCUCCUACAAUUUAACGAACUCACUUCCAAAAAGAAUAGAAAUCGUUCGUGAAUAACAAAUGUGACACUACUGGAUAAUAACUACUAAGGCUAAUCCAAGAAAUAAAACUAGACUCGACUCUAUUAAUAAUCACCACCCCUAGAACUCCUUUCAAUAUAUUCACCAUGAUCUUCGAUAUGAUUUAAUACUUAAAAUUACACAGACUAAUUGACCUAAAUUAUGUCAUUAAUUCAAAACAUUUAGUUUUCAGAAUUAAAAUUAUCUCAAUCUCAUUUGAAAAUUUCCCUUCCCUAAAAAAAAAAACUCUUAAUAGCUUCCAAAACAUCCUUUUUAAUAAUUUCCCAAUAAUUAUGAUAAAAAUUCUGCUAAAAUAUUCGCAAAAAAAAGAUAUUAAUUUAAUUGUUUUGUAUGCUUAACUUGUACAAUAUAAGUAAAAUCUUAUAAUUUUAUCUCCAAAUUCUCUUAACACAUCUUUCUGACCCUUAUUUAUAAUCUCAUUUGUAUCUAAGAGGAUAUUCAAUUUAAAAUUAAAUAAUCUUUCUUAUAUAAUUCUUUAAACAUUAAAAGUAUUUUCCUCUAUUUUUUUUUUUUUGGUUGGAGUAUUAAAUAUUAGCCUUAAAACCAUAAGGCAUGAACUAUUCCAAACAACCCUUAAAAAGAUAUGUAAAUUUUGUUUUUGAAUAUAUCAUUCUUACUUUUUUAGAUUUCAAAUUGGAUAGUGAAUUAUAUAUUUAUUUAUUUGAAACUCCUCUUAAAUUAAUGAGAGUGAAGUUUCUUAUUUAGAAUUGAUUGUUCUAUAAAGUAUUCAAAUUUUUCAAAUAGAUUUAUUUUUUCAAGUGUAGUUAAUAACCGCAAUAAAAACUAAAUUUUAUAAGUGAUGAAUUUAUAUUAAAAAUUGUUUGAUAAAUUCAUAAAAUAUAAGUUUGGAUUCAUCUACUUUUACAUUUUUUUUACCUAUUUAAAUUAGUUCUUAAUUUUCCUUAUUUUUAAAAAAUUUAUUCUUAAUUUUUUAUACAGAAAAUAUAAUCGACGUGGAAAUGAAAAAGUUAGGAGAGAAUAUGGUUAAACAUUGUGCAGGGCUUCCAUUAGCCAUUGUUGUAUUGGGAGGAAUUUUGGCUACAAAGAAUAAUUCAUUAAAUGAAUGGCGAAAGAUAUCUGACAAUAUAAAAUCAUACUUGAAGAAAGGCAAAAAUCAAAGACCAGAGGAUGUGUUAACAUUAAGUUAUGAUGAUUUGCCUCCCUAUCUAAGACCAUGUUUCCUCUAUCUAAGCCAUUUUCCGGAGGAUUAUAUGAUAGAUGUGGAUAGAUUGAUUCGAUUAUGGGUUGCUGAAGGUAUUGUGUCAUCAAAGCAAGAAGAAAGAGAUGAUGGGGAAAUUGCGGAAGAUGUGGCGGAAUCUUAUUUAAUGGAGCUUGUGGAAAGGUGCAUGAUUCAAGUACGAGAAAGAGAUGUGGCAACCUUAAAGGUCAAAACAAUUCAGAUGCAUGAUCUGAUGAGAGAUCUUUGCUUAUCAAAGGCAAAACAAGAAAAUUUUGUCUUCAUUGUUGAUCAAUCAAAUGCAUCUUCAUUAUCUAUGAUUCGGAACGUUCGAAGGGUUUCUGUGCAUGAGUUUUUUUCAUACAAUGCAUUAAAAGUCCAAAUAUUCGGUCACUUUUGUUCUUCAAUGAGUUUUUUCCGGAGGAGGCAUUAGAAAAAUCUUUGCCCUUGGAAGUGUUGAAUUACGUUGAAGAACAUGAAGAUGAAGUUUGUAAUCCACUUGUUUGGAUUCUUAUGAUUUCGCGAACUGGUACGAGCUUUCUUAAAGCUCGGGGAAUUUGGAGAUACAUGUUCAACAACUUCAAAUUGCUAAGAGCCCUAAACUAUGAGAGAACAACAUGUGAUCGUUUUGUAGGGUUUAAGUUACCCAGUGAUAUAGGUAAUCUCAUCCAUUUAAGAUUCUUGAGUCUAAAGGAUCUUGAGUUCACAUGGCCAAAGUUGCCAUCAUCUCUAGGCAACUUAAGGUGCUUGCAAACCUUGGAUUUAAGAGUUGAUAGUUACAAAAUUCAUGUACCUAAUGUGAUAUGGAGGAUGGAGCAACUAAGACAUUUAUAUCUCCCUUGGAGAUGUAAAAGCAGAACUAAGUUGAAGUUGGGUACUUUGAGAAAACUCCUAACACUUGUGAACUUCAACACCAAGAAUUGUUAUCUGAAGGAUCUUAUCAACAUGACAAAUCUUAGAGAGUUGGGGAUAAAUUUACCCUUCAAUUUUGAAAAUUUCAAUGAGAAGGAGUUGGGCGAGAAUCCAUUCAUAAUCGGAAGCAAAUAUCUUCAUUCCUUGUCUAUUAUUACCCGUAGGCUAAAGAUAUCAAUAGAUCCAAGACAUUUGGCCCACCUCCUUUCAACUUGUACAAGUAUUUGCAAGUUGAGUAUAGCAGCAGAGAUAAGUAAGUUACCAGAGUAUCACUACUUCUCUUCACAUCUCACUUACAUACGGUUGAGAUGGUGCAAGUUUGAGGAAGAUCCAAUGCCAACACUAGAGAAGCUGCCUAACUUAAGGAUUCUUGAAUUCGAAUGUUCUUUGAAAGGAAAGUAAAUGUUUUGCUCUGCUCAGGGUUUUCCUAAACUUGAGUCUCUAAUCCUUGCGGAGGUCGACAAUUUGGAGGAAUGGGAGGUGGAUGACGGAGCCAUGCCUUCUCUUCAGCGAUUGGAUAUCAGGCAUUGCCCAAGCUUGAAGAUGCUUCCAGAGGGAUUGAGCUCCAUUACAACCCUCAAAGAACUGAAGAUUGAAUCAAUGCCAAAGGCAUUCAAAGAAAGAUUGGAGAAAGGAGGAGAAGAUUUCUACAUAGUCAAAGAUGUUCCUUCUAUCAUACUCCAAUACUGUGGCUAAUAAAUUGAAUGAUAAUUGAGAGGUAAUUUCAUAACCUCUAGUUUAGGAAAUGAUUCCUACUUUCUUUGCUUCUUAUAUAUCUUCCGUUUUUGACAAUGUCUCACAUUCUCACUCAAUUUGUCAACACACCAAUGAAUAAUUACAUUUAUUAAAAGUCAAAGGAAGUCAUCUUUUUAGUUUUGCUUUUCAGGUAAAGACGCCAUUUUUUCACCUACUACUAUAAUGGCGUGUGAAAGUGUGUUAUAUGGUGAGAUUUGGAAUUAUCUUCUCUCUUGUAUAUAUUGUUGGAACAUUUUCAAAUAUUUAUAGUAUCCCAAUAACUAUAAAUGAAUGGGUGUAAUUAAUCAAAAGAUAAAUCUUUUGGUCAUUGGUCAAAAGUUAUAUCAUUUGAUUUUUUAAAAAAGAAUUAUAAUUAUUCAAAAAAUAUUAUUUGAAUAGUUACAAAAUUAAAGGAAUAAUUAUUAUUAUUUAUUUAUUCAUAAAGACACCUAUUGAAAGAUGUCUCUAUGAAGAGACAUGAAAAUUCCUAUAAAUAGGAAUGGGAUUUCAUUUGGAAAUCAUAUCAACAAAUUCUAAUAUUAUUUCUUCUCUUCCUUCAUUUUCUAAUAUUAUUAGAUUAUUCUAUAAAGUAUUCCUGCAGAAAUUCUUUGUAGAAAUUGAGUUUUUGUUACACAUUACUCAGUGCAUAGUGGACUAUUCUCGUCAGUGCAAAACACAAAUAGUCAUUGGCUUCAUUGUAUCCUCGAGGUUAAUUUGCUUGGAACUCAUUUGCACACUGAAGAUAAGUGGGGGCGAAUAUAACCUUAAUGAUAGUGGCUUGAUACACGCCUUGGAGCCUUGUCCUAUUUCUUCUUUUUCUUUUCGAGUUCCGAUCGUGUGUUCGAGAUUUUCCUUACCGGAGUUUUGUAAUAACAUAUAUCUAUGGUUGUUGACUGUUUGUUGUUUUCUUCAAAGUACAAUAAAACGGUUGCAAGAUAAGGUAUUGGAAGAAUGGGAGGUGUCUGGAUUAGCAAGGUACCAAAUAAGGAGACGUCAUAAAACAUAACAUUGCAGAUAAGGAGACAUCACUGACCUUUGUUCCCACAUAGCUUUGGUUUGCGGUGACCAUUCCUAUAUUUAUUUGUUAGCUUUGCUUUCUCUUUCUUUUUUUUCCCUUAAGUCUGCUUGAGUCUUUUUCUUUUUUUAUAUGUACUUAAUGUAAUAGUAGAAGCCAAGGCAGGACCAUGCUUUUCUAUUGUAAAAUUCAUCACUUCGUUAUUUUAUAUUUGUAUGUUGACACAUUUCCCGUUUCAACAUAUUUCCUUAUUUUAUGCAAGUCGAUUGGUAUUCAUCAUAAAAAUUACGAUAUCAUAUCAAGUUUAAUGGUUACACUUCCAAAACAAAAAAUAGGAAAAAUUAAAUCUUACCAACUAAUAACACUUUCAAAUUACACUGUCUUACAAAAAAAAAAAAAAAAAAGAAGAAGAUACAAUUUGAAUUUUUUUAUCAAAUGGUUUAGCAAGCUAUGCUUUAUAAAAGAGGCAAAGGAAUCCAAGGGAAUCAAAGAUUCCAAAAUCGAUAUUUAGAUUCAAGAUUUUGUAUCCCCAUGCUUUGCUUCUUAUAUCUACCAACAAUAUCUUGAUGAUAACAAACUAAAAAAAACUAUUCAAGGGAAUCGAAGAUUUCAAAUCCAACAUAAUUGAUUGAAAAUUUCACAUCCACUUAAUUAAUUCAAAUGAUAUUUAGUCAAUAAGUUUAAAUUAAAAACUGCAAGAAUCUUCAUUUAUCUUUUAUUCGAAAUGUAAUUCGGAUUCAAUGAAAAUAUUGAACAUAUAAUGUGUGCACAUGGAAAUGUCCAAAUCUUUAAAUAUAGGGUCGACAUGGGAGAAAUCUCCUCAGACAUUGAAUUUAUUGAGUGCAUUUUCAGAGGAAAAUCCUGAAACAUGUUACAGGCAAAUAUUAAGAAAAACAAUGCACAAGCAUAAGUACAAAAACAUAGCAUGCAAGAAAUCAAUACUUGAAAGGAUUAAAAUCACUGCUAACCUAAGACAUUGAAUCUAGCACCACUAGGAAACAUCCGAAAUGAUACUUGUCUUUCAAUGUUGAGAUACAUACGUCCAAGUCUGCCAUGUUGCGCCAAACUGGAAUUCAUCAACCUNNNNNNNNNNNNNNNNNNNNNNNNNNNNNNNNNNNNNNNNNNNNNNNNNNNNNNNNNNNNNNNNNNNNNNNNNNNNNNNNNNNNNNNNNNNNNNNNNNNNUUAUAUAUAUAUAUAUAUAUAUAUAUACAGACACACACACAGAUAGACAUGAAGAAAGUGGGUUAAUGGUGUAUUAUUUAAGUAAAGAAAAAGUUGAAAUCUUAAACCUCUAAAUAUUGGGUAACAGCUAGUGUUAAAAGUGCAUAAAGUUCUUCUAUUAUCUACAAGAAACAAUGGAGGAAUCACAUACAUUGUUUAUAUUCACUUUUCUUGCUACACAAGCAAGCUGAGUCCAUAAACAAAGGCAUACCUUUUCUCCGUUUUUAAAUGGUUUUCUUGUUUCUUGGCUGCUUUUUAUAUUAAGAAGAGAGAUUGUGAGACCUCGUCAUCCUCAAGGAGUAAGUGGUCCAGCAUGAAGAUGAUGGGAAGACCAUGAGUCGAUGGUGGUCAAUCCAUGAGUUGAUUAUGAGUAGUUUCAUGUUAUGAAAUAAAAAUGUUAGCUAAAGUUAGUUGAACGCUGUGUUUUAGGGUUGAGGGUUUAAUGAAACUAUCAGUUUUGAUGUUGAAUGAAAAUGGUGCGUAUUGACGGUUUGUUACAACUGCUCGAGGAACAGCCCUAUAACAGACUUUGUAACUGCCAAUUCUCAGCCAUAAUAGAAACUGGCAUGGGAAAUGGGCAGAUAUGCCAUUUUGUGAAGGAAAUCAAUUCUUUCUUCUUCCUUGAUUCUCUUUCUCUUCUCUCUUUUUCUUUCUUCCUCUAUUCUGUUGAAAUUAUGCAUCACUUCACCAGUAUUCAUCAUUGUGGACGUAUCUGAUCUUCAGUCUCUGGUUUACUGCCCAUGUAAAGUUAUGGAAAGAAAUGCAAAUUUAAAAGGAUUUCUUGCUAUAGUCUAUGCAAUUUCAUGUGUGCGUGAAAGGAGAUGAAGAUUAAUAGAGUAAUACUGAUAUACCAACAAUUCAUUAAUUGAAGUACUAUCAAUAUUAUCAACAAGUAACAGGAUUAAGUGAGUAUACUAAUAUAGUCUAGAAAAGCAAUUUAAUUAAUAAUACCAUAGGGAUGGCAAGAGGGUGAAGUUGCUAUUGCUAUUUAUAUCUCAGCUGCUAGCUUUUGACGACUUCACCAAGUAAACUGCAAUCACAAGUGUUGUUCUUAUUACCUGCAAAAACAGAGCCAACAAUCUGAAUCCAUAUCCCCAUUUUAGGAACAANNNNNNNNNNNNNNNNNNNNNNNNNNNNNNNNNNNNNNNNNNNNNNNNNNNNNNNNNNNNNNNNNNNNNNNNNNNNNNNNNNNNNNNNNNNNNNNNNNNNCCGUAUCUGACACUUAUAUUCAACACAUAUUCAUGUAUUGGUAUGAAGAUAUGAUAUUCUUAUCCUAUACUCAUAUCCGUGCUCAGGUAACAUAAACUGAACCCGCAAGAUAACUGAUUUAACAUUGCAUUGCUGCUAGCUAUUGAUGAUUUCACCAAGUAAACUGCAAUCACAAGUGUUGUUCUUAUUCCUUGAAAAAACACAGUCAACAAUCUGAAUCCACAUUCCCAUUUUCGGAACAAAACCAUGGCGUACCAUUUGUUUCAAAGCCCAAUCAACUUCCUUUACCAUCUUCCCCUUAUAAAAACCAUGAAUCAACUUCUUGUAUGAAUCAAAACUAGGAUUAACCCUCUCGAAAACCAUUCUCCCCAUAAUCUCCUUUGCUUCCAUAAACCUCGCAGCAUCAAGCAAACCAUACAACACCUCUUGAUAAGACCCUGCAUUGGGAUAACACCCUUUCUUUUUCAUAAUUUCCAACAGCUUCACACCUUCAUCAAUCCUACCUUGUUUCCUAAGACCUGAAAUCAAGAUAUUAAAGCUAACAGCAUCAGCAUCGAUUCCUUCCGUUUCCAUCCUCCCCAUCAACUCAAAAGCUUCAUCAACCUUCCCCUUAUCGCACAACCCGUGCAUUAAAGUAGAAUAAGUUCUAACAUUAGGCUUACACCUUUGUUUAGGAAAUUCAUCGAGCAGUUGGAAUGCAAACUCUAAUUUCCCAUUUUCACACAACCCUUUAAUGAGAAUAUUCAGAGUACAAGCUUCGAUUUCAACACCCAAAUUGGGAGGUAAACCUCGUGAACAACAUCAAAUAGUUUGUUCGAUACGAGUAAGCUCAAUACGAUAUUGAAGGUUUUAACACUAGGCCAAGUCCCAUAUUCUGGCAUACUAAAAAGGAUCUCGAUUGCCCUUUUGAUUCGANNNNNNNNNNNNNNNNNNNNNNNNNNNNNNNNNNNNNNNNNNNNNNNNNNNNNNNNNNNNNNNNNNNNNNNNNNNNNNNNNNNNNNNNNNNNNNNNNNNNNNNNNNNNNNNNNNNNNNNNNNNNNNNNNNNNNNNNNNNNNNNNNNNNNNNNNNNNNNNNNNNNNNNNNNNNNNNNNNNNNNNNNNNNNNNNNNNNNNNNNNNNNNNNNNNNNNNNNNNNNNNNNNNNNNNNNNNNNNNNNNNNNNNNNNNNNNNNNCAGCCAGUCUUUGUGGGUUAGUUUGAAAAGGGCAGGGGAAGUGGAGUGGGUUGGUUGAUGGUAGCUGGAAAAUGAGGAGAAAAACGAAAGGGGUUUAAGAGAUGAGAUUUUAGUGGCGAUUGGAUGGUGAAAAAGUGAGGGAAAAUUUUGGGGGUAAGAGCUUUUGACAGAAGAAAGAAGGGAACGUGAAAUCAUGCGUUUGGCCAUUGGAGAAUGUAGAAACUGGAGAGCUAAAAGCUUUGUGCUAUUCGCACUAUAAACAUAUAUAGGGUAAGGGACAGGCUUAAUACUUGUUUUGUCCCCUGUAAUAUAGUAAAAAAUCUCAUUUUGACCCUUUUCCUUUACUUUGUCUGUUUACUUUCAUUUCGUCCAUCAUGUUAGUCUAUUGAUCAUUUCCGUAAAUCCCAUGUGUUAGGGUUCCUAUAUUAUAGUAUUCAUCCAUAUACUUUAACCCUCCACGUAGUCGCAAUCAAUUGGCUUAAAUGAUCACACACGAGGAUCACUAUAGUAUAAGGACCAAAGUGAGAAUUUUAUUAUUAAUUAAGUGACAAAUACGUAAACAUGCACUAAUUUUUUUAUACAGAAAUGGUCAAAGAAUUAAAGUGAUAGAUGAAAUGAAAGUAAAGGGCGCAAAGUGAUUGGAAAAUUAGUAAAAGGUUGGAAAAUAUGAAGAGAUUGUAUGAUGCAAAACUUAAAUAAUUUAUCUACUGCAAUUUUGAGGUGUAUUAAUUUGAAGUAAUGAAUCAUUGUUAUUUACAACUAUAUAUUAUAUCUCUUUGAAAUGUACAAAUAAAUUAAUGGGCAGAAUGUUUAUGAAUGUCAAAACUUUAUUUUUGCUUCUUCUUCCCUUCAAGAAUUGGUUGGAUUUGGAGAUGCCAAUUGAAAGCCUGGUUCAAAAGGAAUCGAGUUUGGAAUGCCGAAAUGAUCGGAAGCCAUGCCAAUAUAGCAAUUGGAGAGAAAAGGAUCGAUCCCAUUCCGUAAUCAUAUGCCUUAGCUAGUACCUCAGUGAACUGCCAGAGUCCGGUGUUCUCAAUAAUUGGCCUCACAGCUUGAGCAACCUGAAGGGAACUAAAAUGUCAGAGGGAAUAAGGCAAAAGAUGUAAACUCUAGACAAAAACUAUAUGCCGAUCCUCUAAAUAUAUGAACAAAUUUAAAAAAAAAAAUUGGCCAUGCCCGUAUUUGAUACUUAUUGUUGAAUUCGAGUAACAUAGUCAACUAGACAUACCAAAAUCAGACCCCAUCCAGUCAGCAGAAAUGCAAGACAGCAGACAAGUAAAUCCUUGAACGACAGUUCACAGAUGACUGAGAGACUAAUAACAAUGGCCAAAAUCCUUUACAAUUGUUUGAUUCCUCAGUCAUAUUGCCUUGGAAUCUUCGGAAGUCAAGACAAGUCUAGCUCAUCAGCUUUGCCAUUCAUCUUGAAACUCCAAGCCAAUAUGUCGUGCGUGAACCCAGGCUAUAUAAACAAUGCAAAUAAAAUAUAUGAAAUCACGGUGUACUGUAAGUAUAGAGAUUAAAUUGUAAUAUAGUUUUAGAUUUAUAAUGAAAUACAAAAAUAUUUCAAAAAUCGUACUCAAAGAAAGUAUGAACUAAAAUUGAAUUAAACAUUAACAAAGAAUAUGCAAAACUAAGUCUAAAUAGCUACUUCCUUAAUUAUGAUAGUAUGAUUAAACAUAAAUUGAAAGUAUAAAACUGGUAGACAAAUCAAUGAGAAAUGACAAACAAUAGUUCAUUAAUAUCCAUGAUUGUAAUUAAUCUAGACUUAUUCUACCAAAUAAUCAAUUUAGUCCUCUUAUCUUUCGAGCUGAUGGAUCUAAAUGGGACAACUGAAUCAGUUCUAGAUAAAAUCUCCUUUCAAUCUCAUCUACUUAAAUUUUCAUCUAGAGUCAUCAAUUUGAUCCAAUUAAUCAACUCAAAGCCUAGAAUUAAAUUAACUAUUCUCACUUCAAUUAACCAACUUUCUCAAAAAUUUAGUUAAGACCCAUUCUAAUGAUACUAGACCCACUUAAUUCGUAAACCAUGAAUAAAGUUAAUGAUACGAAAGAAUAGAGUUGAGAGAUGCGCAAUAAUCCAAAAAUUUCUGAUUGUGGAUAUCUUCUUUGAGUAGCAACUGAAAUUCUCAUAACGAAAGCGUGAAAUGAAAAAAUAAAUAUAUUUUUAUUAAAAUGAGUAUGAAGCGAGUGAAAUGAAAAAGAAAGGAAAACGGAUAAGGCUCCGAUUAAAGUUACUUUAAACAAGUAAAUAUAUUUUAUUCAAAUUUAUAGUUUAUUAUAUUUAUCUGUAAUCCUCACUUUAAAAAAGCAUUCCAAAUAUGCUUCCUCACUAGAGGUAAUAAUGGGUUGGACGGCCCGGCCUGACGGCCCACCCGAAAUAUGGGAGGAUUUGGGUAAAAAUAUAAGCCCGAAAUAUGGGUUUGGGUAAAAAAUGAGACCCGUUUAGAAAACGGGCUGGGCCUUAGGCAAAAAGUUUUUGGCCUGGGCCGAGCCUGGACAAAAUUUUAGUCCCAUAUUUUGGGCCGGGGUAGGCCCAGGGAUAGGACGUAGGCUGAAAAUUUUUUUUGGGCCUUGCCCGAACCCAGCCCGGCUCGGCCCAUGAUCACCUCUGUUCCUCACCUUAUCAUUUUUGCUUUUUUUCAAGUGCCAUUAUAAUUUUUGUUAAUCUUUCUUUUCCCUUAAUUAAAGCUUGAUGACUUAUAUUAUAUAUAUCCAUUUUAAAGAAAAUGUCACUAAAUUAUUGCUUUCGUUCUGUUUUGGUUAUUAAAUUAUUAAUUUUUUCGAUUUCGUUACUAAAUUUUUCGAAAUUAAUUAUUUUGAUCACUUUCUCGUUAAUUGUCAUUAGAUAAGUGAGGAAAAGCUAACACAAGUUUAUUUUAUUGUUCAAAGUAAUCCCUAUAUAUUAAAUAAAAAUUCAAUUUAAUUAUUGAAUUAAACUAAAAAUUCAAAUAAACUCAUAAUAUUACAACUUUUUUAUUAUAUAUAAUAUUUCCAAAUAAUAAAUUUAAAUUUAUUAUGAUUAUCAAACUUUUGUUUCAAUAUACCUACUAUAGUAUAUUUUCACUUUUUAAAUUGAUUAUAAUUAUUUUUUAAAUGUUAAUUUAAUAAUACGAUAAAAAAAUAAAUGAUAUUUUUAUCGAUUUAAUUUUUUUAAACUUAUGCUUUUAUAGAUAUUAUAGAUGGAUUAUAGAUUAUAGGAAUAGGGUCUAAUGGCUAAAAAGAAAAAUUAUGUACCGGCUAUGUGAAGGCAUUAUACAAUGGAUCAUCAAAGUAGAAAGAUUAGUAUUAGAUAAAGUGAAAGUGAGUGUCCUCCACUCAUUUUACUUUUAAAAAAAAAAAUUUAAACAAAAAAGACUUUACUUUUGUUCUACGAACCUUUCUGUUUGUAGGAUUUCUGCACUCACAUCUUGAAAUCCAAAUUCAAGAUUUUAAAGAAAUUUCUGAGCUUACUCACUAUUAUGGCUUGGUCUGCUGUGACAUCUGCAGUGACAACAAUUGGCAACCUACUAACUCAGGAAGCCAUAUACCUAUGGGGUGUGGAGGAGCAAGUUAUGGAUGCAAAGCUCCUUAAUGGAGGCAGAGACAAAACAAUCAAAGGAUGAGAGGAUUCGUCUGUGGCUUGCUGAAAUCAGAGAGCUUGCUUAUGAUGCUGAGGAUAUUGUUGAGGAAUUUGCUCUCAAGAUUGGAUCCAAAAACAAAGGUGGCCUUCCGAGUUGUAUUAAAAGAUCAGCCUGCUGUUUGAAAGAGGGAUGGGUGCUCCAUGAAACCAGGUCAAAGAUCGAGAAAAUCAUAGAAAGAAUCAACGACUUGGUCCGGCGACUACAGGCCUACGGAGUAAAGGAAUUAAAGGACAGAGGAGAAGAAUCAAGUUUUUCAACUGAAAGACGAGAAUCAAGGCGGCCUUAUCCACAUAUUAUGGAUGAUAAUAUUGUUGGACUAGUUGAUGAUACCGAGGGAUNNNNNNNNNNNNNNNNNNNNNNNNNNNNNNNNNNNNNNNNNNNNNNNNNNNNNNNNNNNNNNNNNNNNNNNNNNNNNNNNNNNNNNNNNNNNNNNNNNNNNNNNNNNNNNNNNNNNNNNNNNNNNNNNNNNNNNNNNNNNNNNNNNNNNNNNNNNNNNNNNNNNNNNNNNNNNNNNNNNNNNNNNNNNNNNNNNNNNNNNNNNNNNNNNNNNNNNNNNNNNNNNNNNNNNNNNNNNNNNNNNNNNNNNNNNNNNNNNNNNNNNNNNNNNNNNNNNNNNNNNNNNNUUGAUGAUGUUUGGACCAGUGAAGCUUGGGAUAGUCUAAAACCUGCCUUUCCAGUUGCAACGGGCCGUGAUAGCAAUAGCAAGAUAUUGCUCACCUCUAGAAACAAGGGGAUAGUUUCAGAUGCUGAGAUAAGAGGUAAAAUUUUCUUAAUUAGGUAAAAUUGAAUACUCUUAUUCCUUUGAUGGAAAAUAACCAUGUAUAUUAUUUCAGAGUUGAAGUGCCUAAACGAUGAAGAAAGUUGGGAAUUGUUUCAAAAGAUUGUAUUUCCUCAAACAGGUAAAUAUACGUAUAGCAAAAUUCUUGUUAUAUGCUAAAUUUAUUUUUCAUUUAAAAUUUUUUUUUGGUGAAAGUAAGGACCUUAUCUUUGAUAUGCCUCAAAGUUAAUGUUUUCGAAAGCCCCCACAAAGAAGGGACACCCAAGUAGGCGUCCGAAUUAUUUGCCACCUCUAAGUUAGUCUCUUCUUGAAUCAACCUUUCGUUGUCCCUUUGGGAGUAUUCACACUAAAAACGUUGCUUGAUUUAUCAUAGUUGACCCUUCGUCCAGAAGCUGCACAAUAUUCUUGAAUCAAGUUAAUCAUUCUCCUACAAUUUAACGAACUAGCUUCCAAAAAGAAUAGAAAUCGUUCGUGAAUAACAAAUGUGACACUACUGGAUAAUGACUACUAAGGCUAAUCCCAGAAAUAAAACUAGACUCGACUCUAAUAAUAAUCACUACCCCUAGAACUCCUUUCAAUAUAUUCACCAUGAUCUUCGAUAUGAUUUAAUACUUAAAAUUACAAGGACUAAUUGACCUAAAUUAUGUCAUUAAUUCAAGACAUUUAGUUUUCAGAAUUAAAAUUAUUUCAAUCUCGUUCAAAAAUUUCCCUUCCCUUAAUAGCUUCCAAAACAUCCUUUUUAAUAAUUUCCCAAUAAUUAUUAUAGAAAAUCCCGUUAAAAUCAUUUGCAAAAAAAGAGAUUAAUUUAAUUGUUUUGUAUGCUUAACUUGUACAAUAUAAGUAAAAUCUUAUAAUUUUAUCUCCAAAUUCUCUCAACACAAUUUUCUGACCCUUAUUUAUAAUCUCAUUUGCAUCACACAGGAUAUCCAAUUUAAAAUUAAAUAAUUUUUUUUAUAUAAUUCUUUAAAUAUUAAAAGUAUUUUCCUCUAUUAUUUUUUUUUGUUGGAGUAUUAAAUAUUAGCCUUGAAACCAUAAGGCAGGAACUAUUCCAAACAACCCUUAAAAAGAUAUGUAAAUUUUGUUUUUGAAUAUCAUUUUUACUUUUUUAGAUUUCAAAUUGGAUAAUGAACUAUAUAUUUAUUCAUUCGAAACUCCUCUUAAAUUAGUGAGAGUGAAGUUUCUUAUUUAGUAUUGAUUGUUCCAUAAAAUUUUCAAAGUUUUCAAAGUUUUCAAAUAGAUUUAUUUUUUCAAGUGUAGUUAAUAACCGCAAUAAAAAUUAAACUUUAUAAGUGAUAAAUUUAUAUUAAAAAUUGUUUGAUAUAUUCAUAAAAUAUAAGUUUGAGUUCAUCUACUUUUACAUUUCUUUUACCUAUUUAAAUUAUUUCUUAAUUUUCCUUAUUUUUUAAAAAUUUAUUCUUAAUUUUUUAUAUAGGAAAUAUAAUCGACGUGGAAAUGAAAAAGUUAGGAGAGAACAUGGUUAAACAUUGUGCAGGGCUUCCAUUAGCCAUUGUUGUGUUGGGAGGAAUUUUGGCUACAAAGAAUAAUUCAUUAAACGAAUGGCAAAAGAUAUCUGACAAUGUAAAAUCAUACUUGAAGAGAGGCAAAAAUCAAGGACCAAAGGAUGUGUUAGCAUUAAGUUAUGAUGAUUUGCCUCCUUAUCUAAGACCAUGUUUCCUCUAUCUAAGCCAUUUUCCGGAGGAUUAUAUGAUAGAUAUGGAUAGAUUGAUUCAAUUAUGGGUUGCUGAAGGUAUUGUGUCAUCAAAGCAAGAAGAAAGAGACGGUGGGGAAAUUGCGGAAGAUGUGGCGGAAUCUUAUUUAAUGGAGCUUGUGGAAAGGUGCAUGAUUCAAGUACGAGAAAGAGAUGUGGCAACCUUAAAGGUCAAAACAAUUCAGAUGCAUGAUCUGAUGAGAGAUCUUUGCUUAUCAAAGGCAAAACAAGAAAAUUUUGUCUUCAUUGUCGAUCAAUCAAAUGCAUCUUCAUUAUCUAUGAUUCGGAAGGUUCGUAGGGUUUCUGUGCAUGAGUUUUUUUUCAUACAAUGCAUUAAAAGUCCAAAUAUUCGGUCAGUUUUGUUCUUCGAUGAGUUCUUUCCGGAGGAGGCAUUAGAAAAAUCUUUGCCCUUGGAAGUGUUGAAUUACGUUGAAGAACAUGUAGAUGAAGUUCGUAAUCCACUUGUUUGGAUUCUUAUGAUUUCGCUAGGUUGUACGAGACUUCUUAAAGCUCGGGGAAUUUGGAGAUACAUGUUCAACAACUUCAAAUUGCUAAGAGCCCUAAACUAUGAGAGAACAGGAGGUUAUCCUUUUGUAGGGUUUAAGUUACCCAGAGAUAUAGGAAAUCUCGUCCAUUUAAGAUUCUUGAGUCUAAAGGAUCAUGAGUUCUUAUGGCCAAAGUUGCCAUCAUCUCUACGCAACUUAAGGUGCUUGCAAACCUUGGAUUUAAGAGUUGGUUGUGGCAUAAUUCAUUUACCUAAUGUGAUAUGGAGGAUGGAGCAACUAAGACAUUUAUAUCUCCCUUUAAGAUGUAAAAGCAGUACUAAGUUGAAGUUGGGUACUUUGAGAAAACUCCUAACACUUGUGAACUCAACACCAAGAAUUGUUAUCUGAAGGAACUUAUGAACAUGACAAAUCUUAGAGAGUUGGAAAUAAAUUCGCCCUUCAAUAUUGAAAAUUUCAAUGAGACGGAGUUGGGCGAGAAUCCACCCAUAAUCGGAAGUAAAUGUCUUCAUUCCUUGUCUAUUAUUACCUCUGGGGACGAAUCAAUAGAUCCAAAACAUUUGGCCCAUCUCCUUUCAAAUUGUACAAGUAUUUGCAAGUUGAGUAUAGAAACAAGGAUAAGCGAGUUACCAGAGUAUCACUACUUCUCUUCACAUCUCGCUUAUAUAGGGUUGAGAUGGUGCAAGCUUGAGAAAGAUCCAAUGCCAACACUAGAGAAGCUGCCUAACUUAAGGAUUCUUGAACUCGAAAGUUAUUUCGAAGGAAAGGAAAUGUUUUGCUCUGCUCAUGGUUUUCCUAAACUUGAGUCUCUAAUCCUUACUGAGGUCAACAAUUUGGAGGAGUGGAAGGUGGAUGAAGGAGCCAUGCCUUCUCUUCAGCGAUUGGAGAUCAAGGGUUGCCUAGGAUUGAAGAUGCUUCCAGAGGGAUUGAGGUUCAUUACAACCCUCAAAGAACUGAAGAUUGAAUCAAUGCCAAAGGCAUUCAAAGAUAGAUUGGAGGAGGAAGGAGGAGAAGAUUUCUACAAAGUCAAACUUGUUUCUUCUAUCAUAUUCCAAAACUGUGGCUAAUAGAUUGAAGGAUAAUUGAGGGGUAAUUUCAUAACCUCUAGAUUAGGAAAUGAUUCCUACUUUCUUUGCUUCUUAUAUAUCUUCCAUUUUUGACAAUGUCUCACCUUCUCACUCCAUUUGUCUACACACGAAUGAAUAAUUAGAUUUAUUAAAAGUUAAAGGAAGUCGGACAUUGAUAUUUUUAGUUUUGCUUUUCAGGUAAAGAAGCCAUUUUUUCACCUGCUACUGCUAUUUACGGGAUCAAGUCUAGAUUUAAAACUCCUAUUAUAAGUUGCGUGUGAAAGUGUGUUAUAUGGUGAGGUUUGGAAUUAUCUUCUCUGUUGCAUAUAUCUAUGGUUGUUGACAUCAGACUGGUUGACUGUUUGUUGUUUUCUUCAAAUUACAAUAAAACGGUUGCAAGAUAAGGUAUGGGAAGAAUGGGAGGUGUCUGGAUUAGCAAGGUACCAAACCCCUCCUCCAUUUUAAUUUCCUUCAAUCUAAUUUAAUUACACAUUCAUUUUUGUCUUUUCAAACAUAAAAUUGCAGAUAAGGAGACGUCACUGACCUUUGCUCCGACAUAGCUUUGGUUUGCGUUGACCGUUCCUAUAUUUAUUUGUUAGCUUUGCUUUCUCUUUCUAUUUUUUCCCUACUUAAGUCUGCUUGAGUCUCCCUUUUUUUAUAUGUACUUUACCUAAUAUUAGAAGCCAAGGCAGGACCGUGCUUUUCUAUUGUAAAAUUCAUCACUUCGUUUGUCAAUGUUCAUUUCUACUCUUCAGUUUACUUAAAUAUAAUUGUUUGAUAUAUAUUUGAAUAUGAAGAAUAUAAUCUUUUUAAGAUAUACAUAUUUUAGAAAAAAUUGAAUAUAUGUAUGUCGGACACAUUUCCCGUUUCAACAUAUUUCCUUAUUUUAUGCAAGUCGAUUGGUAUUCAACAUACUCUUUUCCGUCAUCCUUAACUCAAUAAUCUUUGUUACGAUAUCAUAUCAGGUUUAAUAGUGGCAGUUCAUCCCCACACUUCCAAAGCCAAAAAUAGGAAAAAAAUUAAAUGUUACCAACUAAUAACACUUUCAAAUUACAUUGUCUUACAAAAAAAAAAAGAUACAAUUUGAAUUUUAGCAAGCUAUGCUUUAUAAAAGGCAAAGGAAUCUAAGGGAAUCUUUCAUUCAAGAUUUUGUAUCCUCAUGCCUUGCUUCUUAUAUCUACCAACAAUAUCUUUGUGAUAAUAAACUAAAAAAAAAACUGCAAAUCCAACUUAAUCGAUUGGAAAUUUCACAUCCACUUAAUUAUUUCAAAUGAUAUUUAUUCAAUAAGUUUAAAUUAAAAACUGUAAGAAUUUUCAUUUAUCUUUUAUUCAAAAUGUAAAUCGGAUUCAAUGAAAAUAUUGAACAUAUAAUGUGUGCACAUGGAAAUGUCCAAAUCGUUAAAUAUAGGGUCGACAUGAGAGAAAUCUCCUAAUGCCCAACGUUAAAUAUUUAUAAAAUUCAAUAUGAUCCUAUUAUUUUCGUUAUAAAACUCAAUAUCUUAUUCGGAUUAGGAUACAAGCGAAUAACAGAUAACUAUUUGUCGUUCAAGGUAUGAUAAAAUCUCAGUAGCUAAGAUAUGAAUGUUGCAAAAUACCAUACAAAAUCACAGCCACAUUUGUUAGUAUGGCUAUUUUGGGUAAUCAAAGGAAAAAAAUGUUAGCUGUUGAGCAAACAAGGUGAACAGAUUAGAUAUUCCAAUUACGUUCAAGCACUUGACAAAUCCUUUCUGCAAUGGCUUCAGCACGCAUCCUAGGACCUUCAUCAUCUGCAAAAAUCGACCAUUUCUAACAACUAAGCUAACAUCACACAUGAUAAUAUAUGUAUAUAACAUAUAUAGAUGAUGAUUAUGUGGAUUAAAAGCUAUGUUAGUUUGACUCAAUACAUGACCAUGGGACAUGCACGAUUCUUCAAUAACGANNNNNNNNNNNNNNNNNNNNNNNNNNNNNNNNNNNNNNNNNNNNNNNNNNNNNNNNNNNNNNNNNNNNNNNNNNNNNNNNNNNNNNNNNNNNNNNNNNNNUUAAAUACAUCAAUAUCUAACAUUUACAUCUGAGUUCGAGUAAAGUAAAACAUGUCAUUCUACCUAAACAUGCAAAAUAUCCAAGACUCUUGACGAAUGUUAGAUACAAAUAUGUAGAAUGUACCCAAAAUACCCAUCUCGAACUCAGUAGAGAAAUAUCUAGCACUCAAAAGGCACUAGCUUCAACCAAGAACAAGGAAGUUUCUUCAAAGGCUUGAUAUACUUUCUUCACGGCCAUAUAUAUGUGUGCAUAUACCCAUAUUAAGGACGAUUGUUUUGGCAAAGAGGAUGAGAAGAUAGAAAGAAAACCUUUAAUCCAAUGACAAUAUUUGAUUAUAACAACAUGACACAUAUAAUUGUGAUUAAAAUUGUGGUCACAAACAUGUUUGCAAUCACAUCAUGUUAACGAAUACUAUCGCAAUCAAUUGCAAUAAAUAUCCACAACAAGAAGAGCGAAAAUCCUAAAAACAACAAAGAUAAUACAUUACAGCUGUUAAAGAAUUUUCAAUAACAUAUAUACCUGCAAGAUUUUCAGUGAUGACACAACAAAGUUCACCACCAGACAACUUCCCGAUCUAAUGAAAUUUUCAAACAUAUCAUAAGUUUCAAGAUCAACUGAAACAUGCGAAUACUGUUGGUGUUAAGAGGUAACAGCAAGCUGAUUUGAGCUUGCUUAUACAGCAAGGCUCGAGGCUUGCAGAAGAAACAAUUGAAGAAAGAAACAGAAAAUGAAGCUUGCGAAUGGAAAACAGAAAAGAAAGAAAAAGUUUGAAUGAAAACAAGCUAAAAUUUUCAUUAAUUGUCAAAGAGGCAUAAUGCCAUUAUAUAUAUGAGUUAACAAUCACAAAAUAAACAAGUUACUACCUAAACUUAGACCUAACACCAUUAAUUUACAUUGAACUUGUUAAAUUUGCUUGAGUACAUAAACAAGUCACCUAAACUUGUCAUUCAGCACCUAAUUACAUCAAAAUGCAGCUACCAACUAAGUUUUAUUCAAACUAGAAUACAAAACAUUCAUUAAAGAAACUAAAUGAAACAAAAUAACUUCAGUUUGCUGCUUGAAGCACGUUCUCUGCAUGGCCACCUUGGCUGCUGCAUGGGGGCUGACUUCAACACUCUUCCUCAGCUUCUAUGCUGCAGACUCCUAGUUGCUUUCUUAGGCUUAGAAAUCUCGUUGUACCAAGAGACUUUGUAAAGAUAUCAGCAAUUUGAUUUUCAGAGCUGCAAUAAAUCAGCUCGAUCUCUCGAGCUUGUUCCAGUUCUCUUAUCACAUGCAACUUUAUGUUGAAGUGUUUUGUUCUGCCAUGAAAGACUGGAUUUUUGGCAAUUACAAUAGCUGACUUGUUGUCACAAUAAAUCUUGGUUGCUUCAUUAAAUUCAAAUCAGUGAGGAUUUUUCUUAGCCACAUAGCUUGAUUAACAACAUUAGCAGCUACUACAUACUCUGCUUCUGCUGUUGAUUGAGCCACCAUUGUUUGUUUUCUUGAACUCCAACAAAUCAUAGUUGAGCCAAGUGUAAAAGCAUAACUAGAAGUGCUCUUCAUAUCAUCUUUUGAACCAGCCCAAUCGCUGUCAGUGUAGUCAAUCAAUUUCAACUCUUCAGCCUUUUUAAAAUGUAUUCCAUGGUUCAAGGUACCUUUGAUGUACCUUAGCACCCUUUUUCCUGCUUUGUAAUGCUGCUGAUUACAACAAUGCAUGAAUAUUGACAGCAUGCUUACUGCAAAUAGAAUAUCAGGUCUCGUUGCUGUCAAAUAUAACAAGCAGCCAACAAGGCUUCUAUAAUCUGUUCCACUGAUAGGUUCAUGAUCUUCUUGACUCGAUAGUUUCAUGCCAACAACCAUAGGUGUGCUGGUUGGCUUGUAGUUCUCCAUUGAAAAUUUGGCUAGAACUUUCAAAGCAAAUGAUUUCUGUCCCAAGAAGAUUCCUUCAUCUGCUUGAUUAACUUCCAUUUCUAGGAAGUAAGUCAUCAAUCCCAGGUCUGACAUUUCAAACAUCUCCUUCAUUUUUGUUUUAAAAUCAGCCAACCUGAGUUUGUCUCCUCCAGUCACUAAAAGAUCAUCAACAAAAAGUGACACAAUGAGCUGUGUUUCAGCUCGAUUCUUUUUAACAUAGAGAGUUGGCUCACUGGCACUUCUUUCAAAUCCCAAACUGACCAGGUAUGAGUCAAUUCAAGCAUACCAGGCUCUAGGAGCCUGUUUCAGGCCAUACAGGGCUUUUCUUAGCCUAUACACCAAAUGUUCUUUACCAGGCAUUGUAAAUCCUGGAGGUUGCUCGAUGUACAUCUCCUCUUCCAACAAUCCAUUGAGAAAUGUAGACUUUACAUCCAUUUGGUGAAUUGUCCACUGAUUCUGAGCAGCUAGAGCAACCAGUAAUUUGAUUGUAUUGAGUCUGGCUAUUGGAGCAAAUGUUUCCAUGUAGUCCAGACCAUAUCUUUGACUGAAGCCCUUCAUAACUAGUCUAGCUUUCAACUUAUUUAAGCUUCCAUUUGCAUUGUGCUUUACUCGAUAGACCUAUUUUACACCAAUGAUCUUUCUGUUAGCAGGUUUCUCAACCAACUCCCAUGUUUGGUUCUUCUCGAUCAUGUUGAUUUCAUCAACUAUAGUGUGCUUCCAGCCUUCAUCUGCCUCAGCCUCUUCAAAACAGGUAGGUUCUGCUAUAGCAACCUGUGCCCUCUCAUAAAUCUCAUCUAGGGACCUUGUUCCUCUCACAGGUACAUCAUCAAUGUCUAUUUCAGGACUAAGCUGCUCGAAUUUAGCUUGAUUAGGCACCAGGUCUUCUGUAAGAGCUUCUAGCUCAUUCUUUUCCCAAUUCCAGCAAGCCUUUUCAUCAAAGAUGACAUCUCUGCUUACCUGGAUUUUGCUUGUGAGGGGAUCUAGGAUCCUGUAGCCCUUCUUAGUUGAGCUAUAGCCCACUAGGAUACUUGGUUGAGCCCUUUUUGCAAGCUUGUCCCUUUUUACUGCUGGUAUUUGUGCAUAGCACAGGCAACCAAACACCUUCAGAUGUGCCAAGGAAGGCUUGAAUCCAAACCAAGCCUCGAAAAGUGUCUUGGAAGCAAGAGCUUUGGUAGGAAGCCUAUUCUGGAGGUAGACAGCAGUGUUUACUGCCUCAGCCCACAUGCUCUUGGGCAGUUUCUUCUCAAACAGGAGGCAUCUGGCCAUAUCCAUCAGGCUUCUGUUCUUCCUUUCAGAUACCAUAUUCUGCUGAGGUGUGUACACAUUUGUUAGCUAGUGUUUGAUCCCAGCAUCACUACAAAUGGCUUGAAACUGAGCUGAAGUGUACUCAGUGCCAUUGUCUGACCUUAUCGAUUUUAGCUUGCAGCUUGUUUCUGUCUCAACAGUAAUUUUAAACUUUACAAACACUUGAGCUACCUCAGACUUGUGUUUCAAGAAGAAAAUCCAGCAAAACCUUGUAAAAUCAUCAAUGAAGAGGAUGAAAUACCUGUUUUUGCUAAGUGAUUCAGUCCUCAUCGGGCCACAUACAUCAGAGUGCACCAGCUGUAAUCUUUCAGUGGCUCUCCAUGCUGAAUUUGUAAGAAAUGGCAAUCUUGCCUGUUUUCCUAUCUGGCAAACUUCACACACAUCAUUAUGCUCCACUGAGUUGGUGAAGUUCUCAGCUAGACCCUCUUUGGCUAUUUGAGCUAUUGAUUUGAAAUUGGCAUGUCCAAGCCUUUGAUGCCAGAGCUUGGAAUUAUCAACAGAGGCUGUGUAUGCUGACUUUGAGUAAUUUGGCCAAUGAACCUCAAAGCAUUUGUCAGUCAUUGUGACUGUCAUAAGGCUUGAUCCACUUGGAUCAGCAAUGUGGCACUGUUUGUCCUUGAACACAACUGAAUAGCCUUUCUCGAGCAAUUGAGCUAUGUUGAGAAGGUUUCUGUCAAUCUCAGGCACCAACAGGACAUUUGAGAUGAUUUUGUUGCUUGUAGGAGUGCAUAACAUCACCUCUCCUCUUCCUUCAACCUUUAUAAACUGACCAUUUCCAACCUUGACCUUGGUUUUGCAACUUCUGUCCAAGGUUUUGAACAAGGAGGCAUCUGGUGACAUGUGGUUGGUGCAGCCACUAUCCAACAACCAGCCUUUAGAGCAUUUCUUCUCAGCAGCUAAGCAAGACACAGCAAAUACCUGCUCUUUUUGGUCACUACUGUCUUCAACCACUCGAGCUUUUUGCUUUUGACUGUUGAAAUUGGUUCUGCCUUGGUUUGGUUUUGUUUUUACACACCUUUUCGACAUGGCCCUUCUUUUUGCAGUGUUGGCAUACUACAUCUGGUCUAAACCAGCAUCUGUCUUCUGGAUGUCCUGGUCUCUUGCAAUAUCUGUAAGGCUGGUCACUGCUCCUUGCAGCAUCAGGCUUAGGCCUAUUUUUCCAGGGCCUUUUACCUCUAUGAGCAUUGAUGCUCGAGGCUUCUCUGGCCUUGGCUUGAAAUGCACCUUCCUGGUGAUCUUCAGCUCUGCUAGCUCUUCUUUGUUCCUGAGCAUAGAAAGUGUUAAUCAGCUCAGUCAAAGAGAUGCUAGCAAGGUCUCUUGAGUCCUCUAAGGAGGAUAUCUUUGCCUCAUGUCUCUCAGGCAAAGUGGAGAGGACUUUCUUCACGAUUCUUGCCUUAUCAAAGUGCUCACCUAGGAGCCUUAUGCUGUUAACCACUGCCAUGAUUCUAUCUACAUACUGCUUCAUUGUUUCUUCUUCCCUCAUCUUCAGAUUCUCAAAGUCUCUCCUCAAAUUCAACAGUUGUUGUUGCCUUGUCCUUUCUAUGCCUUGAAACUCCUCCUAAAGCUUAUUCCAGGCCUGUUUUGGAGUCUCAUAGGCCAUAAUUCUGGUGAAUAUGACAUCUGACACACAAUUCUGGAUGUAGGACAUAGCUUUGUGCCUUUUGGUCCUCUCAUCAGCGUGUUGUCUGAUCUGAGCUACUGUGAGAUUGGCCCUCAGUGGUGCUGGCUCAACAUCUGUGUUAACAACUUCCCACAGAUCAAAGGCCUGCAAGUAAGUUUUCAUCUUAACCAGCCAUACGUGGAAGCCUUCUCCAUUGAAGACUGGUGGGGCUGCUGGUGAAAAUCCUGAAGAAGCCAUCCUGGUUUUUUGGUUUGAUAUAUCAGGUCCACUAAGACAAGGGCUCUAGAUACCAAUUCUUGGUGUUAAGAGGUAACAACAAGCUUGUAAUGCCCAAUUUUAGCCCGAGCCCAAAACCAAAACAUACAGUCCAUUACAAAUAAAAUUAAUUACAGGCCCAAAAUACCCAACAGGCCCUAAUUAAGAAACCCUAGCCCAAAAACAUAAUUUUUUUUCAGUACCAAACCCUAGCCCCCCUAAGCAUGCGCCGCAUCCCCUUGUCGGCCACUCCCUCGCGCCGCCCCCACCAGUCCCGUCGCCAGGCCGCUCGUGCCGCCCAAGGUGCCCCUCUGUCACACUCCUUUUGACCGAAAUAGCCACCUCCAGACAGAAAAGCAAAAAGAAGAACAAUUAAAAUGAUAGCAAGGGUAGAAGAACAGUGAUAGCAGUUAAUCUUGGCUAUAAGAGCCACGGAAAUAUCAAUGUAAAGGGAGGACAGAUUUUUAGAGUUUGAAAAAAGGGUUCCGAAAAUUUAAAAACAGAAGAAAAUAAAAAAAUAGAUCUAUUCGAAAAGCAAUUUGCAGUUUCUAUUUUGUUCUCUUUUCUUUUGUUUUGAUACAAAAAACAACUUCAAGAACUCAAAAAAGAAAAAAACAGAUCUAAAAUUUAACAUUCCAAGGUGAUUUUAUUUUCGUUUAUAUUUCUUUUCCUUUUGUAUUUAUUUAUUUUUUUCUUUUUCAAAAGAACAGUUUAUAUUUGUGCAAAAAUCAUACAUAGAAAAAUAUAUAAAAAAAUUACCUUUUAAAUUUUUCAGGCCACCGUGCACGGUGGCCGGCGCGGCGGUGGAGCGGCGGCGCUGUUCACCGGAUUCUGGGCAGUGCCCAGAAUGGGGGAGAGGAAUUGAGAGCAUUUUCAGAAAUUUUUUGGAGAAAAGAAGGGAAGAAUGAAAAUUAAAAAUAAAAACCAACUUAAAUAGGCCUCCAAAACGACGUCGUUUUGGGCAGGCCUCUCAGGCACCAAAACGGCGUCGUUUUGGCUUUGACCCGAUUCGCCCGACCCGCUCCAGGCUAGGAUCCGCGUGUUUUUAGCGGAAGGGCUAAUUGCACUUUCAGCCCUUCCGCUUUAAAAUAAUUUUACAAUCAAGGCCCCUUUUGUUUUUUUAAAUUCGCACAGUAGUUUAUUAUUUUUACAAUUUGGUCCUAUGAUGCUGUGCGUUUUGGGAAAGAGGGAAAAAUUGCUCUCUUGAUCCCUUCUUGUUGUUUGCGCGUUCAGCUUUGUCCUUCCUCUUUUAUUUAUUUAUAGAUUUGGCCCCAAAUUUUGUUUUAAUAUCUAAUUUAGCCCUUCUUUGUUAUUUUGUUUGUUUUAUUAUUAAAUUAAUAAAUGAUAUGUUAUUAUUAUUGUUAUUUAUUAUUAGUUUUUAUUUUAUAUUUAUUUAUUUAUUCAUCAUCAUUAUAUAAAUUAGUUUUGCAUUACCUUUUAUAUAUUAUAUUAUAUUAUAUAUAUUAUAUAUAUUUUUUAGUUUUUUUAGUUUUUAUAUAUAUAUAUUUUUAUCUUACUGUAUCUUUAUUAUUUAUCAUUUACUUCAAGCUUUUCUAUGUUUUCUAAAUUAUUAUUAUUAUUAUUAUUAUUAUUAUUAUUAUUAUUAUUAUUAUUAUUAUUAUUAUGUUUAUACUCUUUUAAUUUUAAAUUCUUGUUAUAUAUUUACAUAUACAAACGCAUACUUUUUAUAAUAUAUAUGUACAUAUUUUAUUUUAUUUUAUUUUAUUUUGUGUGUAAAUAUAUACAUUUUCCCGAUGCAUAUACACAUACAUUUUAAAGUUAUUAUAAAUAUAUUUUAUAUUUCAUUUUUCAUACUUACACAUACCUAUAUCUAUUUCUACGUAUUUUAUUACACAUAGAUAUACGUAUACAUAUUUUUAAAUAUUUUUUAUAUUUUCAUAAUUCUAAAAUAUAUAUAUACAUGUAUUUAUAUAUUUUUAUUUCUUUUAUGGUUUCGUUAUUUCGCGCUGUGUUUAUUUUAUUUUAUUUAUUCAUGCCCACUUUCAUUCGAAUAGUGUAUUUGCUUAUUCUUUUGCAUGUUUAAUUCGUUUUUUAUUUAUUUAUCUUUUAUUUGUUGUUACUUGUAUUAUUCAUACUUACAUUAUCGAAUUUAUUAUUGUUUUGUUAUGAGCAUUAACAUCAUGUUUUAUUUCUACUAUUACACGUUAAAUUAUUUUUCAUUCAAUGUAUAAAUUAUGAUUUUUGAAUAAACAAAAUUUCGUGUUUAGAUUUGAGAAAGUCGUACCCUAACUUACUAGGUUUUGAUUUUCACAAUGAAUAUAAAUACGUGGAUCUUUUCAAACUCAAAUUUUCAACGAUCUCGGGAUUUAUAAAAGAUCGUAUCCUAACUUACUGGGUAUGAUCCCUUUUUUAAACCCGAGAUAAUUGAAUAGCUUUUAAAUAAUUUCUUCGGCAUUUAUUCUUGAAUCGGGAAUUUAAAGACAUUGUGUCCUAACUUACGGGAUAUAAUUCUUUUUCUUGAUUAUCGUGAAAAUGCCCUUCUCUCGAAAACUUUUAGCAUUUUAAUAAAAGAUCGUAUUUUUAAAUUUCUUCAAAGUUCUCAAUUUUCGACAUUAAGACAUUAAGUAAUCAACUAGGUACCAAUUUUGGGCGUUACGAGGGUGCUAAUCCUUCCUCGUACGUAACCGACUCCCGAACCCGUUUUCUAAAUUUCGUGGACCAAAAUCGUUGUUUUAAUAAAAUUAAACUGUUUAUUAAAAACAACCAGUUUUCGAGGCGAUCCAAUCACACCUCGUUAAAAAAUGAUUGGUGGCGACUCCCACAUUCGAUUUCAUUUUUUUAAAAACCCAAGUCGAAUCCGUUUUCACCCAAAAAAUGGUGUCAACAAAGCUGAUUUGAGCUUGCUUAUAUAGCAAGGCUCGAGGCUUGCAGAAGAAACAAUUGAAGAAAGAAACAGAAAAUGAAGCUUGCGAAUGGAAAACAGAAAAGAGAGAAAAAGUUUGAAUGAAAACAAGCUAAAAUUUUCAUUAAUUGUCAAAGAGGCAUAAUGCCAUUACAUAUAUGAGUUAACAAUCACAAAAUAAAUAAGUUACUACCUAAACUUAUACCUAACACCACUAAUUUACAUUGAAACUUGUUAAAUUUGCUUGAUUACAUAAACAAGUCACCUAAACUUGUCAUUCAGCACUUAAUUACAUCAAAAUGCAGCUACCAACUAAGUUUGAUUCAAACUAGAAUACAAAACAUUCAUUAAAGAAACUAAAUGAAACAAAAUAACUUCAGUUUGCUACUUGAAGCAUGUUCUCUGCAUGGCCACCUUGGCUGCUGCAUGAGGGCUGACUUCAACAGAUACCAAUUAUGAUAAGAAAUUAAAUUAAGGAUUUUCUACUGCAAGCCUACCACGAAAACAUAAUUUUUAUUAGGAUCAAAGGCGUAGCCCAUCAUGGCAGCAUUAUUGAGUCCAUUUUCAGAGGAAAAUCCUGAAACAUGUUACAGGCAAAUAUUAAGAAAAACAAUGCACAAGCAUAAGUACAAAAACAUAGCAUGCAAGAAAUCAAUACUUGAAAGGAUUAAAAUCACUGCUAACCUAAGACAUUGAAUCUAGCACCACUAGGAAACAUCCAAAAUGAUCCUUGUCUUUCAAUAUUGAGAUACAUACGUCCAAGUCUGCCAUGUUGCGCCAAACGGGAAUUCAUCAACCUCUUGAGAGCCUAAAGGAUGAAAAGUUCAAGUCCGAGUUAUAUAUAUACAGACACACACACAGAUAGACAUGAAGAAAGUGGGUUAAUGGUGUAUUAUUUAAGAAAAGAAAAAGUUGAAAUCUUGAACCUCUAAAUAUUGGGUAACAGCUAGUGUUAAAAGUGCAUAAAGUUCUGCUAUUAUCUACAAGAAACAAUGGAGGAAUCACAUACAUUGUUUAUAUUCACUUUUCUUGCUACACAAGCAAGCUGAGUCCAUAAACAAAGGCAUACCUUUUUCUCCGUUUUUAAAUGGUUUUCCUGUUUUUGGCUGCUUUUUAUAUUAAGAGAAAGAGAGUGUGUGAGACCUCGUCAUCCUCAAGGAGUAAGUGGUCAAGCACGAAGAUGAUGGGAAGACCACGAGUCUAUGGUGGUCGAUCCAUGAGUUGAUUAUGAGUAGCUUCAUGUUAUGAAGUAAAAAUGUUAGCUAAGUUAGUUGAGUGCUGUGUUUUAGGGCUGAGGGCUUAAUGAAACUAUAAGUUUUGAUGUUGAAUGAAAACGGUGUGUAUUGACGGUUUGUUACAACUGCUCGAGGAACAGCCCUAUAACAGACUUUGUAACUGCCAAUUCGCAGCCAUAAUAGAAACCGGCAUGGGAAAUGAGCAGAUAUGCAAUUUUGUGAAGGAAAUCAAUUCUUUCUUCUUCCUCGAUUCUCCUUCUCUUCUCUUUUUCUUUCUUCCUCUAUUCUGUUGAAAUUAUGCAUCACUUCACCAGCAUUCAUCAUUGUGGACGUAUCUGAUCUUCAGUCUCUGGUUUACUGCCCAUGUAAAGUUAUGGAAAGGAAUGCAAAUUUAAAAGGAUUUCUUGCUAUAGUCUAUGCAAUUUCAUGUGUGCGUGAAAGGAGAUGAAGAUUAAUAGAGUAAUACUGAUAUACCAACAAUUCAUUAAUUGAAGUACUAUCAAUAUUAUCAACAAGUAACAGAAUUAAGUGAGUAUACUAAUAUAGUCUAGAAUUAAGUGAGUAUACUAAUAUAGUCUAGAUUUAUAAUGAAAUACAAAAAUAUUUCAAAAAUUGUACUCAAAGAAAGUNNNNNNNNNNNNNNNNNNNNNNNNNNNNNNNNNNNNNNNNNNNNNNNNNNNNNNNNNNNNNNNNNNNNNNNNNNNNNNNNNNNNNNNNNNNNNNNNNNNNNNNNNNNNNNNNNNNNNNNNNNNNNNNNNNNNNNNNNNNNNNNNNNNUUUAAUAUCCAUGAUUGUAAUUAAUCUAGACUUAUUCUACCAAUUAAUCAAUUUAGUCCACUUAUCUUUCGACCUGGUGGAUCUAAAUGGGACAAUUGAAUUAGUUCUGGAUAAAAUCUCCUUUCAAUCUCAUCUACCUAAAUUUCCAUCUAGAGUCAUCAAUUUGAUCCAUUUAAUCAAUUCAAAACCUUAAAUUAAAUUAACUAUUCCCACAUCAAUUAAGCAACUUUCUUAAAAAUUUAGUUAAGACCCAUUCUAAUGAUAUCAGACCCACUUAAUCCGUAAACCAUCAAUAAAGUUAAUGAUAAGAACGAAUAGAGUUGAGGGAUGCUCAAUAAUUUGUGGAGAUCCUCAUAAUGAAAGCGUGAAAUAAAAAAUAAAUAUAUUUUUAUUAAAAUGAGUCAGAAGCGAGUGAAAUGAAAAAGAAAGGAAAACGGAUAAGGCUCCGAUUAAAGUUAUUUAAACAAGUAAAUAUAUUUUUAUCCAAAUUUAUAAUUUAUUAUAUUUAUCUGUAAUUCUCACUUUAAAAAAGCAUUCCAAAUAUGCUUCCUCACCUUAUCAUUUUUGCUUUUUUUCAAGCGCCCUUAUAAUUUUUGUUAAUCUUUCUUUUCCCUUAAUUAAAGCUUGAUGACUUAUAUUAUAUAUAUCCGUUUUAAAGAAAAUGUCACUGAACUAUUGCUUUCGUUUUGUUUUGGUUAUUAGAUUAUUAAUUUUUUUGAUUUAGUUACUAAAUUUUUCGAAAUCAAUUAUUUUGAUCACUUUCCCAUUAAUUGUCAUUAGAUAAGUGAGGAAAAUUACUUUCUCAUUAAUUGUCAUUAGAUAAGUGAGGAAAAGCUAACACAGAUUUGUUUUAUUGUUCAAAUUAAUCCUUAUAUAUUAAAUAAAAAUUCAAUUUAAUCCUUGAAUUAAACUAAAAAUUCAAAUAAACUCAGAAUACCACAACUUUUUAUUAUAUAUAUUUCUUUUUCCAAAUAAUAAAUUUAAAUUUAUUAUGAUUAUCACAACUUUUAUUUCAAUGUAACUACUAUCAUAUAUUUUCACUUUUUAAAUUGAUUAUAAAUAUUAUUUAAAUAUUAAUUUAAUAAUAUGAUAAAAAAAUAAAGGAUAUUUUUAUCUGUUCAAUUUUUUUUAAACUUAUGCUUUUAUAGAUAUUAUAGAUUAUAGGAAUAGGGUCUAAUGGCCAAAAAGAAAAAUUAUGUACCGUCUAUGUGAAGGCAUUAUAAAAGGGAUCAUCAGAGUAUAAUGAUUAGUAUUAGGUAAAGUGAAAGUGAAUUGAUUAAGUCCUCCAAUCAUUUUACUUUUAAAUAAAAAAAAAUUAAACAAAAAAACUCUACUUUUGUUCUACCUACCUUUCUGUUUGUGUUCUCAUUCUAUUAAUUAAGUACUGCUUCUUGCAAUUGUUUUCCCAGCAAGAUUGCGGCACACACAUCUUGAAAUCCAAAUUCAAGAUUUUAAAGAAUUUUCUUAGCUCGAUCACUUUUAUGGCUUUUUCUGCUGUUGCAUCUGCAGUGCAACAAUUGGCAACCUGCUAACUGAGGAAGCCAUAUACCGAUGGGGCGUGGAGGAGCAAGUUGAUCGUCUGCAAACAGAGCUCAAUUGGAUGCAAAGAUACUUAAUGGACGCAGAGACAAAACAAUCAAAGGAUGAAAGGAUUCGUCUUUGGGUUGCUGAAAUCAAGGAUUAGGAAGGUACGAAACACCUCCACUUUAAUUUCCUUCUGCUUAAAUUAGAUGUUUUAAGUUAAUUUUUAGUUUUGAACAUGUUAAAUUGCAGGAUAAUGAGACGCCACUGACCUUUAUUCGGAUGUAGCAUUGCAUUUACAUGUUUGGUUUGCAGUGACCAUUCAUAAAUUUUGCUGUGACUACCCUGUUGCUAGUUCUUUUUUCCUACUUCGAUCUGCUCAAGUCUUUUAUGAUAUAAUUAAAUGUAAAAAUAUGUAAUAGUAGAAGCCAAGACAGGAUAUUGUAAAAUUGAUCAUUUUGUUUUUAAUGACCAUUUGUUCUCAUCUUUUUUCAUUUUUCAUAAAUGUGUCCAAUAUAUAUUUAUUGAAUAUAUUUAUGCUGGACACAUAUCCUAAUGUGGUACACUAAAUCUGAGUCAUAUUGUGCAAUAUUGGUGAAUUACUAGUUGGUGCAGAAUCAUAUACAUCGAUGUUCUGUCAUUUGUUGAAGAUAAAAGAUCCAAAGCCUCCAUUAUUAAAAUGAAAAAAAGAAAGAAAAUUGGAUAUUCGUUUCUUUCUAGAUUUAGAAUAUAGAUAUUUGUAAUAUUGAGAUGAUAAACGAUUAAUAAAUGGAUUAAAUAGGAUCUAAUGUCUAAUUACAAUCCAAGAGGAACAGGCUCCUGCCGCCAUAAAAAAUUCCAUAAUUACUUAUUUUAUUGUAUUUUUUGAUAACACAUUGAUUAUUGCAUGGAACAUUGGUUAAGAACAAAAUAGGAACCAAGAACAAACAAUGUCUUCAAACAUAUUAAAAUGACAGCUCCAAAUCCUUACUUCAAUUAUUGUUGUGUUGGGUUUAUUUUGGAUUAGCUAAUGGAAAUAAUUGAAGCUCAGCAUGACAGCAAAUCAGGUUCUUUUUCUUCUUCCUCUGUCCUUUCUCUCUAUUUAGAUACAUGUUCAUUUCGUGUUUAUUGCAGAUGUUGUCUGAAUGAUUUCUAUGAAUAUUAAUGGCAGCAAAGCUGAAACCGUAAAAUAAUGAUCCAGUAAAGUUGGUGUUUCAGUUUCUAUUUAAAUCGCAAACAACUUCCCUAUUAAUCAAACAAAUGCUCUAAACUUGAAUGUCAUGAACAUGUCAAAAAUCAUACCUUGUAGUCAUGUAUGAAUGUGAGGAAAAGUGAAGAACAGAGAACCACAGGCCACACCUGUCAUCAAUGUGUUAUAACAACAUCCUUAACAUCAUAAGCAAGCUCUUUAAUAACAAUGAAAAUUAACCAUAAAACAAAAUUGAAGGGAACUUUAAAAUAUUUUUUAAUAAUAACUUGGGAAGUACUUUAAAUGUGAAAAUUGGGUGUUUACCCAAAUGAUGAAUGGAUGUCUCCUAGGUAAAACUCCCACAAUCUAAUGGUUACAAAUUAUAUAAGUGUACAAUCGGAUUGUGGUUUCUAGAAUGUUUUAUAAACUAAUAAAUUAAAAAUUAUUUGGUGAAUUAAUAAAAUAUAAGUGUUCAAUAUAAUUGUAUAAUUAAUAUUUUUGGGUUCAUCUAUUUUUACUAUGUGCUUUUUUAAAAAAAAAAAAUUUUGGUUUAACUAUUUUUACAUUUCUUUUAUUUACUGAAAUUCAUUUUUAAUUUUCACUAUUCUUUUAAAUUUAUUUUUAAUUUUUUAUACAAAUAAUAGAAUCGAUAUGAAAAUGAAAGAGUUAAGGAAAAACAUAGUUAAACAUUGUGCAAGGCUUCCAUUAGCCAUUAUUGUAUUGGGAGGAAUUUUAAUGUGUUAACUUUAAGUUUCGAUAAUUUAUCUCUCUAUCUAAGACCAUGUUUCCUCUAUUUAAGUAUACAUAUUUUUUUAAAAUAUAUUUUCAAUUUUUUGGAAAAUAUAUAUUUUUAAUAUUUUUAGUAUUUUUGAUGUAUUUUUUUAAAAUUUAUAUGAACCGGACCGCGUUUUAACAUUUUUAUCCGGACCGAACUUAGAAAAAAUUUUAGAUCCAUUUUUUAUGCCAAACCCAAGUCUAACAAAUGGACCUAAAAUUUUAAUUAGGCACGGCUAUGAACACCUCUAAUUAUUUGUAGCUAAAAUUCCCUGUAAGUUCAAUACAAUUUACUAAAAAUUUCAGUUGAUUUACUUGUUAUAUUCAUCACCUAAAUAAAUCAACAAAUAAAUGACGAAUUAUCCCUCUAAGCUGCAAUAUGAACCUUCCAUCAAUUGUCUCUAGGUUCAGUCAUUUUAUUACAUAAGUAUUCUUAAUUAAAAAAAUAAGGAAAAAAUGUAAUUUAUUCUAAUUAAUUAUUGAGCAAAAAUAAAUAAAAGAAAUUGUUAGAGCCUCAGUUUGUUCUUCAAUUAAAAUAAAAUAAAAUAAAUAAGGAUAAUAAUUUUUAAAAAUAAAUAAAAAUUAAAACAUGAGAAAAUCAAUAUACAUUUUUUAUACUCACUAGUUUUGUUGUCAAGAACUGAAAAGCACUUCAAUUCCUUGUAUCCGAAUACAUAUCCUUUUAAAAUUUAUCGAAAAAUAUUUAUUUUAAUGUAACUUAAAAGAUAACAGCCUGGAUUUGAUUAUCAAAUUAAAAAUUCAAAUAAGUUUACAAUAUUAUCAAUUUUUUUUAAUUUAUAUAUAUAUUUCCAAAUAAUAAAUUUAAAUUUAUUAUGAUAAUUACACCUUUUAUUUUAGUAUAACUAUCAUGAUAUAUUUUUUUCCAAUUUUUUUAAAAAUUUAUUAUAAUUAUUUGUAAAUAUUAAUUUAAUAAUACCAAGAAAAAUAAAAGAUAUUUUUGUAAAUAUAUAUUUUUUUAAAUUGGUACUUUUAUAUAUAUAAUAUGGAUAGAUUAUAAAUAUACAUUGUACAUGGUGGCAAAAAAAAAUGUUUAUAGGGUAUAUGUAAAGGCCAUAUACUAUGGAUCAUCAAAGUAUAAAGAUUAGUAUUAGAUAAAGUGGAAGUGAGUUGAUUAAGUCCUCCACUCAUUUACCUACGUACUCUUCCUUUUUUCUAAUUAAAUAAGACUGAUUAGAUACUUUUAAAUAAAAUACUUUCCUAGUCUUCCUUUUUUUUUUCCCACUUUUAUUUAGUGUUAGAUAAAGUGGAAGUGAGUUGAUUAAGUCCUCCACUCAUUUUCCUACUCUUCCUUUUUUCUAAUUAAAUAAGACUGACUCUAUACUUUUAAAUAAAAUACUUUCCUAGUCUUCCUUUUUUUUUUCCCCACUUUUAUUUAGUGUUAGAUAAAGUGGAACUGAGUUGAUUAAGUCCUCCACUCAUUUUCCUACUCUUCCUUUUUUUUCUAAUUAAGUAAGACUGACUAUAUACUUUUAAAUAAAAUACUUUCCUAGCCUUCCUUUUUUCCAAUUUUAUAAUCAGCAGAUCAAGAAAGAAGUAUUGAUUUUGGGAAAUUUGUUAGUUUAGUGUUCCUUUUCACUAUUUUUAAAAAGUAUUGUAAAAAUGGUAAUUUUGAGGAGUACUUUUAGAAAGUUUAGUUUAAGAUUUAAGUAUUUAGUAUUACUGUAAAAAAAUACUUUUGAUAAAUAAAAUAUCUAUUUUAGAUAUUAUGUUAUAAAGUAAAAAAUAUGUAUUUAAAUAAUGUUUAAAUUAGUUAAUAUUAUGAUAUCUUAGUAAGAAUAUAAAAAUAAUUUAUUAUAAUUUGUUGUUAAUAUUUUAAUAUAUGAAAUAUAAAUUUUAAUUUUUUUAAGUAACUAAUAUUAAUUAUUCAUAAAAUCUAAUUCGAAUAUAUAAACAAUAUUUUAAAUAAUAAAAUAUGAUCAAUAAAAAUUUAAAUAUAUAUCACAACUUUUUUAUUUUAUAUAUAUUUCUUUUUUCAAAUAAUAAAUUUAAAUUUAUUAUGAUUAUCACAACUUUUGUGUCAAUAUAACUACAAUCAUAUAUUUUCACUUUUUAAAUUGAUUAUAAUUGUUUUUUAAAUGUUAAUUUAGUAAUAUGGUAAAAAAUAAAUGAUAUUUUUAUCAGUUUAAAUUUUUUUUAAAAAUUAUGUACUGUCUAUGUGAAGGCAUUGUACAAGGGAUCAUCAAAGUAUAAAGAUUUGUAUUAGGUAAAGUGAAAGUGAGUUGAUCAAGUCCUCCACUCAUUUUACUUUUAAAUUAAAAAAAUUUUAAACAAAUAAACUCUACUUUUGUUCUACCUACCUUUCUGUUUGUAUUCUCAUUCCAUUAAAUAAGAACUGCUUCCUUCAAUUGUUUUCCCAGCAAGAUUUCUGCACUCGCAUCUUGAAAUCCAAAUUCAAGAUUUUAAAGAAAUUUCUGAGCUCACUCACUAUUAUGGCUUGGUCUGCUGUGACAUCUGCAGUGAUAAAUAUUGGCAAGCUGCUAACUGAGGAAGCCAUAUACCUAUGGGGUGUGGAGGAGGAAGUUGAUCGUCUGCAAACAGAGCUCAAAUGGAUGCAAAGAUACUUAACGGACGCAGAGACAAAACAAUCAAAGGAAGAGAUGAUUCGUCUUUGGGUUGCUGAAAUCAGAGAGCUUGCUUAUGAUGCUGAGGAUGUUGUCGAGGAAUUUGCUCUCAAGAUUGGAUCCGAAAACAAAGGAUGUCUUCCGAGUUGUAUUAAAACAUCAGCCUGCUGUUUGAAAGAGGGAUGGGCACUCCACAAAACCAGGUCAAAAAUCGAGAAAAUCAUAGAAAGAAUCAACGACUUGGUCCGACGACUACAGGCCUACGGAGUAAAGGAAUUAAAGGACAGAGAAGAAGAAUCAAGUUCUUCAACUGAAAGACGAGAAUCAAGGCGGCCUUAUCCACAUAUUAUGGAUGAUAAUAUUGUUGGACUAGUUGAUGAUACCGAGGGAUUGGUCAAAGUUCUUACGAACGAAAGUCGAUGCCAGGUUGUUACAAUAUGGGGCAUGGGUGGUCUGGGAAAGACCACUCUCGCCAAGAAAAUAUAUCACGAUCCUCAGGUUAGAAAUUAUUUCGAGCACUUCGCUUUUGUAUACGUUUCUCAACCAUGCCAGAAAAGAAAAGUUUGGGAAGACAUUCUAUCUGGUUUCAAAACUUUAAAGGACGAGGAUAGGAAGAAAAGAGAUGAAGACUUAGCAGAGAAGUUGUGUAACAUUUUGGAGGUUAAAGAGUGUCUGGUGAUACUUGAUGAUGUUUGGACCAGAGAAGCUUGGGAUAGUCUAAAACCUGCCUUUCCAGUUGCAACGGGCCGUCAUCGCAAAAGCAAGAUAUUGCUCACCUCUAGAAACAGGGGGAUAGUUUCGGAUGCUGAGAUAAGAGGUAAAAUUUUCUUAAUUAGGUAAAAUUGAAUACUCUUAUUCCUUUUAUGGAAAAUAACUAUGUAUAUUAUUUCAGAGUUGAAGUGCCUAAACGAUCAACAAAGUUGGGAAUUGCUUCAAAAGAUUGUAUCUCCUAAAACAGGUAAAUAUACGUAUAGCAAAAUUCUUGUUAUAUGCUAAAUUUAUUUUUCAUUUUUAAAUUUUUUUGACAGUAAUUGAAAUUAAAAAUAUAUAAAAUCUAUUUUAUUUCAAAAUUUCAAAACCUUAAUAUCAAAUAAAUAAAAGAAAUCAAGCCUUUGUAGUUUAUCAAUUAAUGGUACACGCACCUAAAUAUAAUUAAUAGGUAAAUUCAUUAUCUUUAUUAUUAUAAUUUUUUAAUAACUUUGCUAUUAUUUACGGGGAAUAAAUUACAUUAGGAUUAUCUUAAAAGAUAUAGUUUUUAGGCACCAAUAAAAUAGUGUCACAUCGUUAAAUUUUUAAGAUAACAAAGAAUUAUUAUACACUCAUUUAUAUUUAAUAUUUUCUCCAAUUUAAUUUAACUUUAAUAAAAUUAUUUAAAAUAAUUAAUUUUUUAAAUUAUAAACAAACAUCUUUUCUUCUUUUACAAAUUUUAAUCAUUUUGUUUUUUCAUAAGUUAAUGUUUUUUAUUUUUGUGCAACCAAUUUUUUUUUAAAAAAACAGUAAUUUUUGUGCAAUGUUUUUCAUAUCAUUAACACAUAAUUUUGAUAAUUAUUUUAUCCUGAAGCCAAAACUCCGAACCUUGAACUCGAACCCUGAACCUAAAUCUUGAACCCUGAAUCUUGCAGUUAAAGGUUUGGUUUCUAGAUUUAAAGUUCAAAAUUCGAGGUUCAAGUUUAAAGUUUAAGGGUUCAGGGUUAUGGGUUACGAAUUUAGGAUUCAUGGUUUAAGGGUUUGGGGUAGCGAGUUUGGGGUUUUAUAUGUUUGUUUAGUUUCUUAAGCACUUUCAUGCUAUUCUUUUAUAUGUUUUUUUUUCUUAAGAAAUACAAAUUGAUUUUAUAAUUUAAAUUCAGGACUCAAACAUCACUUAAUUAAAAUAAUAAUUAAUCAAUUCUCGUUUUUUUUUUUGCCACAAAAACAUUCAUUCCAGAAAGAAUAACCAGACAUAGGAAGUCUAAAACACUAAACCAGAUAAACUAACAUGAAAAAAGCACAGUAUUCACUAAGCUUAUCCUGGAUCCUUGCAUCAGAAAGAUGGAGGCGCAGGUAAACCAUUCUUAUUAAGAGUAAAGCCAAGAAAGAUGGUAGUUGAUUCGAACAACCAACACAUCUCUUUACGACCCUAUUUAGCAAACCAAUCCGCUAACUUAUUGGCUUCUCGUCUAAUAACAUUGACUUUCAAAGAAGAAAGUUGCAUGACCAGCUUAUCAAAAACCUGAAGGACUAGCCUUAAUCUCCAUCUUCGAUCUUGACUCUUCUCAAUAUUCGAAAAAAUAGUCUGGGAGUCAGUCUUGAUUGUCACAUUGCUCCACUUGUUCUUCAUAGCUAAUUCAAUCCAUCCAACCAUAGCUUUAGCCUCGACAACCUGACAUGAAUCCACUUAAUCCUUUUACCAAUCCCAUCCAGCAUCUUCCCACUUAAAUUUCUGCCUAUUACUCUAAUACCAGCACAAGCUAUCAAGGUGUCAAAUGCCCCAUCACAAUUUAACUUUAACCCAACCUUCUGGUGGUUUCUCCCAAAUAUCAGCACAAGUUUUUGACUUCCUAGUUCGAUCAGAGUUAUUGUUUGAACAGAGGAUCCAUUGAGCAGAUAAGAAUUCAUUCAUGGAGCAAUUAAUCCUUCGAAUAAUUCUCUCCAAACCAAGUUUCACACCUCCAAUUGUAACCUCACACCUAGCUUUGCAGAUGUGCUAGCAAGUGAAAACAAUUCUAACUUUGAAAUCCUCCCUCAUACAAGGCAUUUGUAACAACUUUGAGAACCAUCUGUCAAAUGAUUGAGUUUGAUCAUUUAUCCCUUGAAGACCAAAACAAGCCUCAUACUAUAUUCCCCUAAGAAUAAUAUGUUCAAAGUCUCAUCUUUUCCACGGAUUAAAAUGAGAUGGAAUAGCAUUAUGACACAAUUUCCAUAAGAAAAUUUUAACUUUGUUCGGUACCUGUAAGCUCCAAAUAGCUUUCCAAGUGCUCCUAUCAAUUAAGUGAGAGCUGGAAGGUUGUAAAGAAGACUCAUUUCCAUAGUGCUUUCUCAACUCCUUGUACCCUGACUUCAUCGGAUAUUGACCAACAGCUGUAAACGGCCAUACCAAUUUAUCUUGUUCAUUUGUUUCGUGAAGGGGAACUUUUAAUUUCGCAAUUUCAAUAUCUUCUAACCACAUUGAGAUACUGGGUAAGUCCCAAUUUAGUUGUUCUAAACAAAUGAUCUCAGCAACUCGUGUUGGUGAGGAUCUGUCAAUAUUUCCAGGAUGCUUUAAUUCCCUAUCUUUAACUCCCAGCAAUCAUCUAUCUUCCCAAAUGCAGAUGCUUUCGCCAUUUUGCACUUGCCAAAUCAAAGUCUUCUUUUAAAAACUCUUUCCCUUCAAGAAUGCUACUCCACACCCAUGAUGACCUAGCUCCUUUUUUAGCUUCAAGGAAAUUAGAAUUCGGGAAAUAAAGUCCUUUUAAAAUCCUACCCCAAAGAGCAUCAGGAUCCUGGACUAACUGUCAAGAUUGUUUUGCAAGUAGAGCAAGGCCUCCAAGCUUUUCAAUGAAUACGUCUCUCAUUUUCCUUCUGCUGAAUUCAUUUCCACGCAUAAGUUUUUAGGAAGUUCGAAAAGAUAUCGUAUACAUUGAAGCGCAUGCUACUGCUUUAAUAAGAACCUCCCUUCCCCUUCAAGAUAACGUUUGCUGCUUCCAGCCCUAAAGUUUGGUAAGGACCUUUUUUUUUUUUGGUGAAAGUGAGGACCUUAUCUUUGAUAUGCCUCAAAGUUAAUGUUUUCGAAAGCUCCCACAAAGAAGGGACACCCAAGUAUCAACCUUUCGUUGACCCUUCGGGAGUAUUCACAGUAAAAACAUUGCUUGAUUUAUCGUACUUGACCCUUCGUCCAGAAGCUGCACAAUAUUCUUGAAAGUUCAUCAUUCUACUACAAUUUAACGAAUUAGCUUCCAAAAAGAAUAGAGAUCGUUCGCGAAUAAAAAAUGUGACACUAUUCGAUAAUGACUACCAAGGCUAAUCCCAGAAAUAAAACUAGACUCGACUCUAAGGAUAAGUUUGGAUUGGCAAUUGGGUGCGAUGCGGUGCGUUUAGCCUACUUUUUGUCUCAAGCUACAGUGUUGCUACAGUAUUUAAUCUCACCGCCACCUCUGUUUUUACACUAACCUCAGGUAAACGCACCGCCCAUCCUAACUCACCUUAAGGCUAAUUAUAUGAGAGAGGAUGUUCACAACAAAAAGGAAGAGGUAAGGUGAUAGAGGGUCACCUUCUAGAUGGAUAGAUUUUUCUAUUAGAUUUACCAUUAAUAAGCAAAGUGUAAGAAACAUUCCUCACACACUCCAUUAUCCAAUCAAUCCAUGUUAAAGCAAAUCUCAUUUUUCUUAAAAUAGUUUUCAGAAGUCCCCACUCUACUCUUUCAUGUCGAGCUUCCAAGCAACCUCAUAUUUCUUACCCCUCUUCUUCAAUUUCAAAUGAUGAAAACCUCUUGAGCAAUUAAGAUGUUAUCAUGUAUUUGUCUACCUACCACAAAAGCACUUUGAUUAUUCAUAAUCACUACCCUAGAACUCCUUUCAAUAUCUUCACCAUGAUCUUCGAUAUGAUUUUAUAGGCAAAAUUAUAAAAAUUAAUUAGUCUAAAUUAUGUAAUUAAUUGAAAACAUUUAGUCUUCAGAAUUAAAAUUAUCUUAAUCUCAUUUAAACCCAUCGAAAAUUUCCCUUCCCUAAAAAAAAAACUCUUAAUAGCUUCCAAAACAUCCUUUUUAAUAAUUUCUCAAUAAUUAUGAUAGAAAAUUCCGCUAAAAUCAUUCGCAAAAUAAGAGAUUAAUUUAAUUGUGUUGUAUGCUUAACUUGUACGAUAUAAGUAAAAUCUUAUAAUUUUAUCUCCAAAUUCUCUCAACACAAUUUUCUGACCCUUAUUUAUAAUCUCAUUUGUAUCUAACAGGAUCCAAUUUAAAGUUAAAUAGUCUUUUUUAUAUAAUGAAUUAUAUUUUUAUUCGAAUCUCCUCUUAAAUUAAUUAGAGUCUUACUUAGUAUUGACUGUUCCGUAAAGUAUUCAAAGUUUUCAAAUAGAUUCCUAUUUUUACAGUUCUUUCACGUACUUAAAUUAAUUCCUAAUUUUCCUUACUUUUUUAAAAAUAUUUAUUCCUAAUCUUUUAUACAGGAAAUAUAAUCGAUGUGAAAAUGAUAGAGUUGGGAAAGAACAUGGUUAAACAUUGUGCAGGGUUGCCAUUAGCCAUUGUUGUAUUGGGAGGAAUUUUGGCUACAAAGAAAAAUUCGUUAAUCGAAUGGCAAAAGAUAUCUGACAAUGUAAAAUCAUACUUGAAGAGAGGCAAAAAUCAAGGACCAGAGGAUGUGUUAGCAUUAAGUUAUGAUGAUUUGCCUCCCUAUCUAAGACCAUGUUUCCUCUAUCUAAGCCAUUUUCCGGAGGAUUAUAUGAUAGAUGUGGAUAGAUUGAUUCAAUUAUGGGUUGCUGAAGGUAUUGUGUCAUCAAAGGAAGAAGAAAGAGACGGCGGGGAAAUUGCGGAAGAUGUGGCGGAAUCUUAUUUAAUGGAGCUUGUGGAAAGGUGCAUGAUUCAAGUACGAGAAAGAAAUGUGGCAGCCUCAGAGAUCAGAGCGACCUUAAAGGUCAAAACGAUUCAGAUGCAUGAUCUGAUAAGAGAUCUUUGCUUAUCAAAGGCAAAACAAGAGAAAUUUGUCUUCAUUGUUGAUGGAUCGAAUGCAUCUUCAUUAUCUAUGAUUCGGAAGGUUCGUAGGGUUUCUGUGCAUGAGUCUUUUUUCAUACAAUGCAUUAAAAGUCCAAAUAUUCGGUCACUUUUGUUCUUCAAUCAGUUCUUUCCGGAGGAGGCAUUAGAAAAAUCUUUUCCCUUGGAAGUGUUGAACUACGUUAAAAAACAUUGUGACGAUUGUUGUAAUCCACUAUUUUGGAUUCUUCUGAUUUCGGUAGGUUCUACAAGACGUCUUAAAAUUCGGGAAUUUUGGAGAUACAUGUUCAACAACUUCAAAUUGCUGAGAGUCCUAAACUAUGACAAAGGAAGAACGUCAUAUGGUUUUUGGACCGGGUGGGAUUUACCCAGUGAUAUAGGGAAUCUCAUCCAUUUAAGAUUCUUGAGUCUAAAGGAUCUUGUGUUCUUAUGGCCAAAGUUGCAAUCAUCUCUAGGCAACUUAAGGUGCUUGCAAACCUUGGAUUUAAGAGUUAAUUUUCCCGAAAUUCAUGUACCUAAUGUGAUAUGGAGGAUGGAGCAACUAAGACAUUUAUAUCUCCCUUUCGACUGUGAAAGCAGUACUAAGUUGAACUUGGGUACUUUGAGAAAACUCCUAACACUUGUGAACUUCAACACCAAGAAUUGUUAUCUGAAGGAUCUUAUCAACAUGACAAAUCUUAGAGAGUUGGAGAUAAAUUUGCCCUUCAAUAUUGAAAAUUUCAAUGAGUCAGGCGAGAAUCCACCCAUAAUCGGUGGUAAAUAUCUUCAUUCCCUGUUUAUUAUUGCCAUUGGGGAAUCCGGCUCAGAAAUAGAUCCAAGACAUUUGGCCCACCUCCUUUCAAAUUGUACAAGUAUUUGCCAGUUGAGUAUAGCAGCAGAGAUAAGUAAGUUACCAGAGUAUCAAUACUUCUCUUCACAUCUCGCUUACAUACGGUUGAGUUGGUGCAAGUUUGAGGAAGAUCCAAUGCCAACACUAGAGAAGCUGCCUAACUUAAGGAUUCUUGAAUUCAAAUAUACUUUAGAAGGAAAGGAAAUGUUUUGCUCUGCUCAGGGUUUUCCUAAACUUGAGUCUCUAAUCCUUGAACAGCUCGGCAAAUUGGAGGAGUGGAAGGUGGAUGAAGGAGCCAUGCCUUCUCUUCAGCGAUUGGAGAUUAGGGAAUGCGGAAACUUGAAGAUGCUUCCAGAGGGAUUGAGGUUUAUUACAACCCUCAAAGAACUGAAGAUUGAAUCAAUGCCAAAGGCAUUCAAAGAUAGAUUGGAGGAAGGAGGAGAAGAUUUCUACGAAGUCAAACAUGUUCCUUCUAUCAUAUUCCAAAACAUCUUGCGCUAAGAAAUUGAAUGAUAAUUGAGAGGUAAUUUCAUAACCUCUAGUUUAGGAAAUGAUUCCUACUUUCUUUGCUGCUUAUAUAUCUUUCGUUUUUGACAAUGUCUCACCUUCUCACUCCAUUUGUCAUCACACCAAUGAAUAAUUACAUUUAUUAAAAGUCAAAGGAAGUCAGACAUUGAUCUUUUUAGUUUUGCUUUUCAGGUAAAGACGCCAUUUUUUCACCUGCACUGCUAUUCACGGGAUCAAAUCUAGAUUUAAAACUCCUAUUAUAAGUGGCGUGUGAAAGUGUGUUAUAUGGUGAGAUUUGGAAUUAUCUUCUCUCUUGUAUAUAUCUAUGGUUGAUGACAUCAGACUGGUUGACUGUUUGUUGUUUUCUUCAAAUUACAAUAAAACGGUUGCAAGAUAAGGUAUGGGAAGAAUGGGAGGUGUCUGGUUUAGCAAGGUACCAAACCCCUCCGCCAUUUCAAUUUCCUUCAAUCUAAGUUAAUUACACAUUCAUUUUUGUCUUUUAAAACGUAAAAUUGCAGAUAAGGAGACGUCAUUGACCUUUGUUCCGACAUAGCUUUGGUUUGCGGUGACUGUUCCUAUAUUUAUUUGUUGGCUUUGCUUUCUCUUUCCUUUUUCUUUUCCCUACUUAAGGCUGCUUUAGUCUUUCUCUUUUAUUUUUUUAUAUGUACUUAAUGUAAUAUUAGAAGCCAAGGCAGGACCAUGCUUUUCUAUUGUAAAAUUCUUCACUUCGUUGUCUAUGUUCAUUUCUACUCUUCAGUUUACUUUAUAUAAUUGUUUGAUAUAUAUUUGAAUAUGGAGAAUAUAAUCUUUUUAAUAUAUACAUAUUUUAGAAAAAAUUGAAUAUAAGUAUGUUGGACACAUUUCCUAUUUCAACAUAUUUCCUUAUUUUAUGCAAGUCGAUUGGUAUUCAACAUAAUCUUUUCUGUCAUCCUUAACUCAAUAAUCUUUGUUACGAUAUCAUAUCAAGUUUAAUGGUUGCACUUCAUCCCCACACUUCCAAAGCAAAAAGUAGGAAAAAUUAAAUCUUACCAAGUAAUAACACUUCCCAAAUACAUUGUCUUACAAAAAAAAAAAAAAAAGAAAGAAGAUACAAUUUGAAAAUUUUUUUUAAUCAACAUUUGAUGGUUUAGCAAGCUAUGCUUUAUAAUAGGCAAAGGAUUCCAAGAGAAUCAAAGAUUCCAAAAUCGAUAUUUGGAUUCAAGAUUUUGUAUCCCCUUUCUUUGCUUCUUAUAUCUACCAACAAUAUCUUGAUGAUAAUAAACUUAAAAAAAAUAUUCAAGGGAAUUGAAGAUCCUAAAUCUAACUUAAACGGUUGAAAAUUUCACAUCCACUUAAUUAAUUCAAAUGAUAUUUAUUCAAUAAGCUUAAAGUAAAAACUGCAAGAAUCUUCAUUUGUCUUUUAUUCGAAAUGUAAUUGGGAUUCAAUGAAAAUAUUGAACAUAUAAUGUGUGCACAUGGAAAUGUCCAAAUCUUUAAAUAUAGGGUCCACAUGCGAGAAAUCUCUUAACACCCAACGUUAAAGAUUUAUAAAAUUCAAUAUGAGCCUAUUAUUUUCGUUAUAAAACUCAAUAUCUUAUUUGGAUUAGGAUACGAGCGAAUAACAGCUAACUAUUUGUAGUUCAAGGUGUGAUAAAAUCUCAGUAGCUAAGAUAUGAAUGUUGCAAAAUACCAUACAAAAUCACAGCCACAUUUGUUAGUAUGACUAUUUUGGGUAAUCAAAGGAAAAAAAUGUUAGCUGUUGAGCAAACAAGGUGAACAAAUUAGAUAUUCCAAUUACGUUCAAGCACUUGACAAAUCCUUUCUGCAAUGGCUUCAGCACGCAUCCUUAAUUUAAUUUCUUAUCAUACGUUUUUGCAUGUAUCAUAAGAAAUUAAAUUAAGGAUUUUCUACUGCAAACCUACCAUGAAAACAUAAUUUUUAUUAGGAUCAAAGGCAUAGCCCAUCAUGGCAGCAUUAUUGAGUCCAUUUUCAGAGGAAAAUCCUGAAACAUGUUACAGGCAAAUAUUAAGAAAAACAACGCACAAGCAUAAGUAUAAAAAACCUAGCAUGUAAGAAAUCAAUACUUGAAAGGAUUAAAAUCACUGCUAACCUAAGACAUUGAAUCUAGCACCACUAGGAAACAUCCGAAAUGAUACUUGUCUUUCAAUGUUGAGAUACAUAGGUCCAAGUCUGCCAUGUUGCGCCAAACGGGAAUUCAUCAACCUCUUGAGAACCUAAAGGAUGAAAAGUUCCAGUCCAAGUUAUAUAUAUACAGACACACACACAGAUAGACAUGAAGAAAGUGGGUUACUGGUGUAUUAUUUAAGUAAAGAAAAAGUUGAAAUCUUGAACCUCUAAAUAUUGGGUAACAGCUAGUGUUAAAAGUGCAUAAAGUUCUGCUAUUAUCUACAAGAAACAAAGGAGGAAUCACAUACAUUGUUUAUAUUCACUUUUCUUGCUACACAAGCAAGCUGACUCCAUAUACAAAAGCAUAUCUUUUUCUCCGUUUUUAAAUGGUUUUUUUGUUUUUCGGCUGCUUUUUAUAUUAAGAGACAGAGAUUGUGAGACCUCGUCAUCCUCAAGGAGUAAAUGGUCAAGCAUGGAGAUGAUGGGAAGACCAUGAGUCGAUGGUGGUCGAUCCAUGAGUUGAUUAUGAAUAGUUUCAUGUUAUGAAAUAAAAAUGUUAGCUAAAGUUAGUUGAACGCUGUGUUUUAGGGCCGAGGGUUUAAUGAAACUAUAAGUUUUGAUGUUGAAUGAAAACGGUGCGUAUUGAUGGUUUGCUACAACUGCUCGAGGAACAGCCCUAUAACAGACUUUGUAACUGCCAANNNNNNNNNNNNNNNNNNNNNNNNNNNNNNNNNNNNNNNNNNNNNNNNNNNNNNNNNNNNNNNNNNNNNNNNNNNNNNNNNNNNNNNNNNNNNNNNNNNNNNNNNNNNNNNNNNNNNNNNNNNNNNNNNNNNNNNNNNNNNNNNNNNNNNNNNNNNNNNNNNNNNNNNNNNNNNNNNNNNNNNNNNNNNNNNNNNNNNNNNNNNNNNNNNNNNNNNNNNNNNNNNNNNNNNNNNNNNNNNNNNNNNNNNNNNNNNNNNNNNNNNNNNNNNNNNNNNNNNNNNNNNNNNNNNNNNNNNNNNNNNNNNNNNNNNNNNNNNNNNNNNNNNNNNNNNNNNNNNNNNNNNNNNNNNNNNNNNNNNNNNNNNNNNNNNNNNNNNNNNNNNNNNNNNNNNNNNNNNNNNNNNNNNNNNNNNNNNNNNNNNNNNNNNNNNNNNNNNNNNNNNNNNNNNNNNNNNNNNNNNNNNNNNNNNNNNNNNNNNNNNNNNNNNNNNNNNNNNNNNNNNNNNNNNNNNNNNNNNNNNNNNNNNNNNNNNNNNNNNNNNNNNNNNNNNNNNNNNNNNNNNNNNNNNNNNNNNNNNNNNNNNNNNNNNNNNNNNNNNNNNNNNNNNNNNNNNNNNNNNNNNNNNNNNNNNNNNNNNNNNNNNNNNNNNNNNNNNNNNNNNNNNNNNNNNNNNNNNNNNNNNNNNNNNNNNNNNNNNNNNNNNNNNNNNNNNNNNNNNNNNNNNNNNNNNNNNNNNNNNNNNNNNNNNNNNNNNNNNNNNNNNNNNNNNNNNNNNNNNNNNNNNNNNNNNNNNNNNNNNNNNNNNNNNNNNNNNNNNNNNNNNNNNNNNNNNNNNNNNNNNNNNNNNNNNNNNNNNNNUUUCGGAACAAAACCAUGCCGUACCAUUUGUUUCAAAGCCCAAUCAACUUCCUUUACCAUCUUCCCCUUACAAAAACCAUGAAUCAACUUCUUGUAUGAAUCAAAACUAGGAUUAACCCUCUCGAAAGCCACAUUUGUUAGUAUGACUAUUUUGGGUAACCAAAGGAAAAAAAAAUGUUAGCUGUUGAGCAAACAAGGUGAACAAAUUAGAUAUUCCAAUUACGUUCAAGCACUUGACAAAUCCUUUCUGCAAUGGCUUCAGCACACAUCCUAGGACCUUCAUCAUCUGCAAAAACCGACCAUUUCUAACAACUAAGCUAACAUCACACAUGAUAAUAUAUGUAUAUAACAUAUAUAGAAGAUGAGUAUGUGGAUUAAAAGCUAUGUUAGUUUGACUCAAUACAUGACCAUGGGACAUGCACGAUUCUUCAAUAAUGAUACGAAAAUAAUUGGAAGAAAAAUUAAAUACAUCAAUAUCUAACAUUUACAUCUGAGUAUGUUUAAUGGUACUCUUUCUUUAGCCAAAUUUUGGCUUCUUUUAGUAGCUAUUCUGACCCAUUUUUCUUUGACCAAAAUGCCCUUGAACAUGUCUUUUUAUUGGGGUUUUAGUUGGACAAGGACUACCCCUGAUGUCAUUUUUGGUCCCCUCACGACAAUAUUGCAAUAACCAACACAGGGUAUCGUGAUAUCGUGGACUGUCUCAAAUGAGGGUCUUCUUUGGUAGCUGGGUAUCACAAUACCUAAGGGGGAUAUCAUGAUACCACUAUAGGUGGUCUUCAUUUCAAGCUUGUGGGAGGUAUCGCUAUGUCCAUGUUGUGAUGUCGUGAUACCCCUUUCCUUAUGUUUUUGCACAAUUUCGGGUCACCGUCAAGUUCCUACAACACUUAAUUGAUCGUUAGGGUCCAAAUGGCACAUUUAUCAAUUUGAGUCUCAAAAUGAGCACAAAACACAUUAAACAUUUAUUAAAUCAAAAAUAAAAAUCUACGCUAAACUACGGAAAAACACUAAUUUGCUUGAAAACAAGCUCUUUAAGUAUAAUGAGGAACCCUAAAUUGACAUAUCAAAUUAUUGUAACUUAGUUGUCUUUUUGAUUCGAACCCACAACCUGAGUUGUUGAGUUGAUCACCCAAUGUCACUAGGCGAAGAGUUUGGGUUCUAUGUACUAACUUGAAGUUGAGGCAUAUUAUAAAGAAGAUUUCAAUUUGACAUGUUUAAUUUUUUUAAUUUAACUCGAAUAAAUUUAUUUAACUCGACUUAAAUUUUAUUUUACUCAACUUGAUUAAAAAAAUUUCAAAUCAAGUUAAGAUGAUAAAAUAGGAUUCAUGAACUUGAUGUAGUCGAAAUUUUUUUUACUAGAUUCGAUCAAACGCUCAACCUGUUAGGUGAGAUGAUGUUUAGGGAUUUGAUUUGUAAAAUCAUUUUUUUCUCAAUCAUUCCUCAUAAUAUAGAAAAUAAUAAGUUAAGUUAUGCCAUUAGUCCUUGUACUUUACAAAAAGUUGUGGAUAUAAUCUAUAUACUUUAGUUUGGUCAUUUUUAAUAAAUGUACUUUUCAAAUUUGAAAAUUUCAAUCCUCACCAAACGAUAACUGUUAAAUUCAUUAAGUUAAGCUUUGUUAUUUUCAAAAUAUUACAUGACAAACAAAUUAUUAUAUGUGUAAUGCCAUGUCAACUUGUUAUUUUGACAUAUUACUCACCAAAAUUUCACUUAAUGGAUUAACGACUUUCAUUCAUGUGGAGACUAAAAUUUCAAAAUUCAAAAGUAGAGGGACUUAAAAUGAUCUAAUUGGAGAAAAUAGACUAAAUCUAUAACUAUACUCAUAGUAUAAGACUAGUAAUUGAAUUUAUCCAAAUAAAUUUAAUUGCUACAGUUUGGGUUAAAACUAAAAUUUCAAAAUUAAAAAAAAAUACAGAAAUUGAAGUUGACAAAUUCAAAAAAAUAUACAUAUUAAAAUUGAUCAAAUUAAAAGUAAACUGACUAACCUUAAUUUUUCUGAUAAUCUUUCUUUUCCCUUAAUUAAAUGACCAUGAUGUAUACUAUAUAUCUUAGUAUAUAAAUAUUUUAAAAAUAAAUAAAUAUAUGUAUGUUGGACACAUAUUCAAGUUUGAUAUUCGUCUUAAAUAUAUGUAUGUUGGACACGUAAUCUUUUUCAUUGUUUAAUAUCCUAAUCCUUAAUUAAUUUAAUAAUAUUUGUUACGAUAGGGUCUAAUGGCUGCAAUUUAUCUUGACACUUUCGAAGCAAAAAAUAAAAAAUAAAAAAAUCAAAUUUCACCGAUUAAUUACAUGCCAACACAUAUAACCCACGAUAUGUUUAUCUCAAAGAUUUAAAUAAGAUAAACUAAAUCACAAAGAAAACAAACGAGUAAACAUAAUCUAGAAAUUCCAAAUUUACAUUAUCUAACAGAAAUUCAAUAAGAAAUAAAAGGUUGCAUUUCAUUCUUUAGGGAUUUGCUCUUAUAUCUUCCAACAAUAGCUUGAUGAUAAUAAGCUGAAAAAGAAAAGGAGUCCAAGGGAAUUGAAGAUUCUUAAUUCAGCUAGCUUAAUUGAUUGAAUACUUCAAAUACACUUAAUUAAUACCAAUGAUAUUUAUCAAUAAAUCUAAAAUUUGCAUCCUACUUUGUAAAAACUGCCAGAAUGAAAUCAAAUUAUCUGAUUUCAAUUCUCUUCAAAUUUUAGUUUACAACUUCUAUUUUUGGGUUUCCAUUUGUUUCAACUUUUAAAGCAAGCAUUGAUUCAAGAAAUAUUUAUUUCAUUUGACUUAUUUGCUUUUCUAAUUUUAUGUUAUUCAGAUUCGAUGAAAAUAUUGAACAUAAUAUGUGUGCAAGUCAAGAUGUCCGAGUCUUACAAUGUAAGGUUGAAACGGGAGAAAUAUCCUAAAAGCUGAUGCUAAAAGAUUUAUAAAAUUCAGUAUAAUCAUUUUGUUUUCAUUAUAAAACUCAAUGUUAAAAUGUCUAUGAUUCGAGAUUAUGAUACAAGAGAAAAAUAGCUAACUAUUUUAAGUUCAAGGUGUGAGAAAAUCUCAAUAGCUAAGAUAUGAAUGUUGUAAAAUACCACUCAAUCACACAGAAAUAUAUACACACAGAAAUACCACUCAAUCACAGCCACAUUUGUUAGUAUGACUACUUUGGAUGAAAAGUUCUAUUCCAAGUUAUAUAUACACACAGAAAUACACAUGAAGUGGAUUAAUGGUGUAUUAUUUAAGUAAAGAAAAAGGGUUCUAACUAGAAGAAAGAGUUGAAAUCUUGAACCUCUAACUAUUGGGUAACCGCUGGUGUUAAAAAGUACAUAAAGGUCCGCGCUUAUCUACAAAAAAACAAUGGAGGAAUCACGUUCAUUGUUUAUAUUCAUUUUUUUUGCUCCACAAGCAAUCCAAAACCAUAAACAAAGGAAUACUUUUUUUCGCCUUUUUAAAUGGUUUUCUUGUUUCUUUUUCGCUUUUUAAAUUCUUCAUUCAAUUCAAGUUCAAGAAACCAUACUAAAUAUAUAUAUUUAUAUUUAUAUUCACUUUUCUUGCUACACAAGCAAGCCAAAAUCAUAAACAAAGGCACGCUUUUUUUUUCCCUUUUUUUAAUGAUUUUCUUGAUUCUUUGUUGUUUUUAAAAUUCUUCAUUCAAUUCAAGUUCAAUAAACCAUAUUAAAUAUAUAUAUUUAUAUUCACUUUUUUUUGCUACACAAGCAAGCUGAAACCAUAAACAAAGGCAUACAUUUUUCUCCUUUUUUAAAUGGCUUUCUUGUUUCUUUGUUGUUGUUUUUAAUUCUUUGCUCAAUUCAAGUUCAAGAAUCCAUACUAAAUAUAUGUGUUUAUAUUCACUUUUCUUGCUACAUAAGUAAGCUGAAACCAUAAACAAAGGCAUACUUGUUUUCCUUUCUUACCGUUGCUACCUUUUAGAUUCUUUAUUCAAUUCAAGUUCAAGAAAUCAUACUAUAUAUAUAUAUUCACUUUUCUUGCUACACAAGUCAACCGAAACCAUAAACAAAGGCAUAACUUUUUCGCUUUUUUUUAAAAUGAAUUUUUCUUUGCUGCUUUUUAAAAUUUUUAUUCAAUUUAAAUUCAAAAAACCCUACUAAAUAUAUAUAUAUAUAUAUAUAUAUAUAUAUAUAUUAAGAGAGAGACCUCAUCAUCCUCAAGCUUGAUGGGAAGGCCACAAGUCGGUGGUCGUCAAAUCAUGAGUUGAUUAUGAGUAGUUUCAUGUUAUGGAAAAAAGAUGUUAGUUAAAAUUAGUUAGUUGAGAGUUUAAUGAAACGAUACGUUUUGAUGUUUAAUGAAAACGGUGCGUAUUGAAAGUUUGAUACAACUAGUCGAGUAACAAGCCUUUAACAAACUUUGUAACUACCAAUUCUGAAGCCUUACAGGAACUGCCAACUUUUGAUUUUGUUUGUAAUCCUCGCUUUAAAAAAAUAUUCCAAAUAUGCUUCCUCACCUUAUCAUUUUUGUUAUUUUUCAAGUGCCCUUACCAUUCUAUAUUUUCAAUGGUUAAAUUGUAAAAAUGGUUACCUAAUUAUUGCUUUCGUUCUAUUUUAAUCACUAAAUCGAUUUAGUUAUUAAAAUUUUCGAAAUUAAAUAUUUUAAUCACUCUCAGUUAUCUUUAGAUGAGUGAUAGGAAGUUAAUGUGAGCUGUUUUUAUUGGUCUAAUAACAAAUUUAAUCAUCUAAUGUUUACACAUUCUAUUAAUUUAAUUUUAAAUAUAAAAUGUUCAACAGAUUUAACCCUAAAUAUUUACAAAAUCUAUUGUUAUAGUUCGAAUCCUAAAAAUUUCAAUAAGUUUAGUCCUCAAAAUUUGUAAAUUUAAUUUUAAUUCCAAAAAUUUUAGAAAAAGGAAAGAUGUAUUUUAUGUUAUAUAAAAGAAAAUCUAGCUCCAUCCAACAUUUUAAAUUCUUUUCUUUUUUCUUCACAUUUUCAUGGCAACGAAAAAACCAACUCAUGGAUGAAUUAAGCAAAUUAAUUAAAAUCAAAUAAAUCGAACAAGGAUUUUAAUUAAAAAGAAAUUCUUCACAUGCAUCAAGGAGGGACUUCCUCUGGUGGUAUCAAGGGGAUUGAUAGAAACAGCUCAGGCUCGAACAAGAACUUCAUUGGGCUUAAGAUCAGGAACAGACACAUCGGACCAAAGCUGCAACACCUCAGGUCCUCCGAACCGAGGCAGCAAUACCGCACUGUAACUGUUGACAUAGCACCGAAUUGAACCCACUUUCAACGAUAACUCCAUAAAGGGUUUAGGUUUUAAGCUUUGAAGUUCCCUUUUUUCUACUCAAAUUUACUGAAUUUCAGCUCCUUCCUUUUGUUAAAUGAAGGAAAAGCAGAGGAGAGACACGGAAGUGUUUUAAUCCACAUAGAAAAAAGUGAUUGUGUGACUUGUGAGUGGGGGCCUAUGGGGCGUGGAAGAAGAAGAUGAACAUUGCAUAAUCAAUUUUUAAUUGCUUAUUACAUUCAUAAUUUAAUAAAUAAAAAUUUCUAACCUUAUCUAUUAAAUCAAGUUAGAAUGUUCAACUUAAUUUUUGUUUGUUAUAAGUAUCACAUAUUAUAAAAAUUAAUUAUAUUUUAAUAAUUAUAUAAUAUUGAUUGAGUUAUUAUUUUUAAUUAUAUCAUCUGAUACCAUCUUGAGGACUAAAUUUAGAAUUAGAACUAAAUUGACAAAUUUCUGAAAUUUUGAGAUUAAAUUUAUUUUUAUUUUUAAGAAUUUGAACUAAAAUGAGAAAUUUUGUAAAUAUUGAGGAUUAAAUUUGUUGGAAAUUUUAUAUUUAGAAUCAAAUGGAUAGAAUGUCUAAACAUUAGGGGCCUAAAUUUGUUAUUAGACCAAUAAAAACAAGUUUAUACCAAUUUCCUGUAGCUCAUUAAUUGCAACUAACGAGGAAAUGAUUAAAAUAUUUAAUUUCUAAAAAUUUAAUGACUAAAUAAAAAAAUUAAUAUUUAAGUGAUCAAAAUAGAAUGAAAUCAAUAAUUUGAUGACCAUUUUUGUACUGUACCCUAUCUUAAUCCAUCUCACAACCAAAUUUCUCCGUCUUUGCCUAAUUUCUCGUCAUUGUCAAAUUUUAAUAGAAUUAACAUUUUUAUUUAAAAAAUAUCUUUAAUCAUUUAAUAUAUUUUUAAUAACUAAAUGUUAAUUCCAUUAAGAGUCAGUUUAUUUACAUGUAAAAAGUUAUAUAAUAUGAGUCUAUUGAACCGAUUCAAUCAUAAAUUUUAUUAUUAUUGGUUUAUAUAAUGGUUUGAUUUUGAAAAUAUUUGGUUUAACAUUUAGUCAUCCCUUUGAUCAAUUUUAAAUUUUAGAAAUAAUUUUGUUUUUUGUUUACAUUUAAAUGUACAGUUUCUAAUGCAUAUGUGUUACAUUUGAUUUCAAGCCAUUAAUCCUUAAUUACUUUUUAAAAUAAUAGUUCUCUUAGUUUUUAAAUAAUGUAUAAAUUUAUAAUUAUAUAAGAAAGUAAACUAUAAUAUUAAUUUUUAAAAAAUUAAGUAAAACAGAAGGCAAUAAUUUUUAUAAUAAUUAAUGAUAAAUAUGAAAAAUAUUCACAAUUAUAAAACAAACCGUUUAAGAGUAUAUAAACUACUUAUACAAAAUUUUUUUAAAUUAAAGAUGAAAAUAUAUAUAUAUAUAAAUAUACAUAAUUUAUAAGUGAAAAAUAUACAUAAUUUUAUUCAUAAAAAAUACAUAUGAUAAUAUACAGACAAGGUUAUAAAGUAAUUCAUAGGAAUAUAGCUUUCUUGUUUGUAUUCUCAUUCGGUUAUGAAUAUAGCUUUCUUGUUAGUAUUCUCAUUCUAUUUUGAACAUACCUUUCUUGCUUGUUUUCUCAUUCUAUUAUGAAUAUACCUUUCUUGUUCGUAUUCUCGUUCUAUUGAUGAUUAAUGUUGCUUUAUAAUUGUUUAUAAAUUUAAUAGAACUAUAUAUUACUACUAAAAGUAUAAAAGGGCAAUGAUUUGCAAUUGCUUUUAUAAUUAAGUACUGCUUCUUGCAAUUGUUUUCCCAGCAAGAUUGAAAUCCAAAUUCAAGAUUUUAAAGAAUUUUCUGAGCUCGAUCACUAUUAUGGCUUUGUCUGCUGUGACAUCUGCAGUGACAACAAUCGGCAACCUGCUAACUGAGGAAGCCAUAUUCCUAUGGGGCGUCGAGGAGCAAGUUGAUCGUCUGCAAACAGAGCUCAAAUGGAUGCAAAGAUACUUAAUGGACGCAGAGACAAAACAAUCAAAGGAUGAGAUGAUUCGUCUUUGGGUUGCUGACAUCAGAGAGCUUGCUUAUGAUGCCGAGGAUGUUGUCGAGGAAUUUGCUCUCAAGAUUGGACCCAAAAACAAAGGAGGUCUUGCGAGUUGUAUUAAAAGAUCAGCCUGCUGUUUGAAAGAGGGAUGGGUGCUCCAUGAAACCAGGUCAAAGAUUGAGAAAAUCAUAGAAAGAAUCAACGACUUGGUCCGACGACUACAGGCCUACGGCGUAAAGGAAUUAAAGGACAGAGGAGAAGAAUCAAGUUCUUCAACUGAAAGACGAGAAUCAAGGCGGCCUUAUCCACAUAUUAUGGAUGAUAAUAUUGUAGGACUAGUUGAUGAUACCGAGGGAUUGGUCAAAGUUCUGACGAACGAAAGUGGAUGCAAGGUUGUUACAAUAUGGGGCAUGGGUGGUCUGGGAAAGACCACACUCGCCAAGAAAAUAUAUCACCAUCCUCAGGUUAGAGAUUAUUUCGAAAACUUCGCUUUUGUAUAUGUUUCUCAACCAUGCCAGAAAAUAAAUGUUUGGGAAGACAUUCUAUCUGGUUUCAAAACUUCAAAUGUCAAGGAUAGGAAGAAAAGAGAUGAAGAAUUAGCAGAGGAUAGGAAGAAAAGAGAUCAAGAAUUAGCAGAGAAGUUGUGUAAAACUUUGGAGGAUAAAAAGUGUCUGGUGAUACUUGAUGAUGUUUGGACCAGUGAAGCUUGGGAUAGUCUAAAACCUGCCUUUCCAGUUGCAACGGGCCGUGAUAGCAAUAGCAAGAUAUUGCUCACCUCUAGAAACAAGGGGAUAGUUUCAGACGCUGAGAUAAGAGGUAAAAUUUUCUUAAUUAGGUAAAAUUGAAUACACUUAUUCCUUUUAUGGAAAAUAACUAUGUAUCUUAUUUCAGAGUUGAAGUGCCUAAACGAUGAAGAAAGUUGGGAAUUGUUUCAAAAGAUUGUAUUUCCUCAAACAGGUAAAUAUACGUAUAGCAAAAUUCUUGUUAUAUGCUAAAUUAUUAAAAAUAUAUAAAAUCUAUUUUAUUUCAAAAUUUCAAAACCUUAAUAUGAAAUAAAUAAAAGAAAUCAAGGCUUUGUAGUUUAUCAAUUAAUGGUACACGCACGUAAAUAUAAUUAAUAGGUAAAUUCAUUAUCUUUUAUAUUAUAAUUUUUUAAUAACUUCACUAUUGCUUACCGGGAAUAAAUUAUAUUAGAAUCAUCUUAAAAAAUAUAGUUUUUAGGCACUAAUAAAAUAGUGUUACAUUAUUAAAUUUUUAAGAUAAUUAAGAAUUAUUAUACACUCAUUUAUAUUUAAUAUUUUCUCUAACUUAAUUUAACUUUAAUUAAAUUAUUUAAAAUAAUAAAUUUUUAAAUUAUAAACAAUCAUCUUUUCUUCUUUUACAAAUUUUAAUCAUUUUAUUUUUUUCAUAAGUUAAUAUUUUUUUAUUUUUGAGCAACCAAUUUUUUUUUAAAUAAUUUUUGUGCAAUAUUUUUCAUGUCAUUGACACAUAAUUUUGAUAAUUAUUUUAUCUUGAACUCAAAACGCCAAACAUUGAACUCGAACCCUGAACCUAAACCUUGAACCCCGAAUCUCACAGUUCAAGGUUUGGAUUCGAGAUUUAAAGUUUAGAACUUGAGGUUCAAGUUUGAAGUUCAAGGGUUUAGGGUUAUGGGUUACAAGUUUAGAAUUCAUGGUUCAAGAGUUUGGGGUUAUGAGUUUGGGGAUUUAUGUUUUGGAUUUAGGAUUUAGGAUUCUAGAUUCAGGGUAAAAAAAUUACCAAAAUUAUGUGUCAAUGACAUGGAAAAAAUUGUUGAAAUGAAAAAAUUGUUGAAAUGUUAUUACAUAAUUGGAAAGGGACUAUGAAUAAUGUGGUCAGAAGGAUCCAUAAAAUAAUUUCUCCAUGAAUGAGUGUAUAAUAAUAAUUCAUUUCUUUAAAAUUUGAUGAUGUGACAAAAAAACUUUAAUUUUUAGGAUCAUCCUAAUGUUACCUUAAUUAUUGGAUUAUAUGCUUGUUUAGUUUCUUAAGCACUUUCAUGUUAUUCUUUUAUAUGUUUAUCCUGGACCCUUGCAUCAGAAAGAUGGAGGCGCAGGUGAACCAUUCUUAUCAAGAGUAAAGCCCAAGAAAGAUGGUAGUUGAUUCGAACAACCAGCACAUCUCUUUACGACCUAUUUAGCAAACCAAUCCGCUAACCUAUUGGCUUCUCGUCUAAUAACAUUGACUUUCAAAGAAGAAAGUUGCAUGACCAGCUUAUCAAAAACCUGAAGGACUAGCCUUAAUCUCCAUCUUCGAUCUUGACUCUUCUUUUUAAUAUUCGAAGCAAUAGUCUGGGAGUCAGUCUUGAUUGUUACAUUGGUCCAUUUGUUCUUCAUAGCUAAUUCAAUCCAUCCAACCAUAGCUUUAGCCUCGACAACCUCACAUGAAUCCACUUAAUCCUUUUACCAAUCCCAUCCAGCAUCUUCCCACUUAAAUUUUUGCCUAUUACUCUAAUACCAGCACAAGCUAUUCAGGUGUCAAAUGCCCGAUCACAAUUUAACUUUAACCCAACCUUCUGGUGGUUUCUCCCAAAUAUCAGCACAAGUUUUUGACUUCCUAGUUCGAUCAGAGUUAUUGUUUGAACAGAGGAUCCAUUGAGUAGAUAAGAAUUCAUUCAUGGAGCAAUUAAUCCUUCGAAUAAUUCUCUCCAAACCAAGUUUCACACCUCCAAUUGUAACCUCACAGCUAGCUUUCCAGAUGUGCUAGCAAGUGAAAACAAUUCUAACUUUGAAAUCCUCCCUCAUACAAGGCAUUUGUAACAACUUUGAGAACCAUCUGUCCAAUGAUUGAGAAUCAUUUUGCCCUUGAAGACCAAAACAAGCCUCAUACUAUAUUUCCCUAACCCAAUUACAACUAAGAAUAAUAUGUUCAAAGUCUCAUCUUCAAUACCACAUAAACAACAAAUUGGGUUCGAAACACACUUUCUUUUCCAUGGAUUAAAACGAGAUGGAAUAGCAUUAUGACACAAUUUCUAUAAGAAAAUUUUAACUUUGCUCGUUACCUGUAAGCUCCAAAUAGCUUUCCAAGUGCUCUUAUCAAUUAAGUGAGAGCUGGAAGGUCGUAAAGAAGACUCAUUUCCAUAGUGCUUUCUCAACUCCUUGUACCCUGACUUCAUCGGAUAUUGACCAACAGCUGUAAACGGCCACACCAAUUUAUCUUGCUCAUCUGUUUCGUGAAGGGGAACUUUUAAUUUCGCAAUUUCAAUAUCUUCUAACCACAUUGAGAUACUGGGUAAGUCCCAAUUUAGUUCUUCUAAACAAAUGAUCUCAUCAACUCUUGUUGGUGAGGAUCCGUCAAUAUUUCCAGGAUGCUUUAAUUUCCUAUCUUUAACUCCCAGCAGCUGUUUAUCUUCCCAAAUCCGGAUGAUUUCGCCAUUUAGAACUUGCCAAAUCAAAGUCUGCUUUUAAAAACUCUUUCCCUUCAAGAAUGCUACUCCACACCCAUGAUGACCUAGCUCCCUUUUUAGCUUCAAGGAAAUUAGAUUUCGGGAAAUAAAGUCCUUUUAAAAUCCUAGCCCAGAGAGCAUCAGCAUCCUGGACUAACUGUCAAGAUUGUUUUGCAAGUAGAGCAAGUCCUCCAAGCUUUUCAAUGAAUACGUCUCUCAUUUUCCUUCUGCUGAAUUCAUUUCCACGCAUAAUUUUUUAGGAAAUUCGAAAAGAUAUCGUAUACAUUGAAGCGCAUGCUACUGCUUUAAUAAGAACCUCCCUUCCCCUUCAAGAUCACGUUUGCUGCUUCCAGCCCUUAAGUUUGGUAAGGACCAUUUUUUUUUUUGAUAUGCCUCAAAGUUAAUGUUUUCGAAAGCUCCCACAAAGAAGGGACACCCAAGUAGACGCCCGAAUUGUUAGCCCCCUCUAUAUUAGUCUCGUCUUGAAUCAACCUUUCGUUGAGGAGUAUUCACACUAAAAAGGUUGCUUGAUUUAUCAUACUUGACCCUUCGUCCAGAAGCUGCACAGUAUUCUUGAAAGUUAAUCAUUCUCCUACAAUUUAACGAAUUAGCUUUCAAAAAGAACAGAGAUCGUUCUCGAAUAACAAAUGUGACACUAUUGGAUAAUGACUACCAAGGCUAAUCCUAGAAAUAAAACUAGACUCGAGUCUAAGGCUAAUCGUACGAGGGAGAACAUUCACAACAAAAAGGAAGAGGGUAAGGUGAUAGAGGGUCACCUUACCUUAGACCUCUAGAUGGAUAGAUUUUUCUACUAGACUUACCAUUAAUAAGCAAAGUGUAAGAAACACUCCUCACACACUCCAUUAUCCAAUCAAUCCAUGUUAAAGCAAAUCUCAUUUUUCUUAAAAUAGUUUCUAGAAAUCUCCACUCUACUCUGUCAUAUACUUUAUUCAUGUCGAGCUUCCAAGCAACCUCAUAUUUCUUACCCCUCUUCUUCAAUUUCAAUGAUGAAAACCUCUUGAGCAAUUAAGAAGUUAUCAUGUAUUUGUCUACCUACCACAAAAGCACUUUGAUUAUUCAUAAUCACUACCCUAGAACUCCUUUCAAUAUAUUCACCAUGAUCUUCGAUAUGAUUUUUUAGGCAAAAUUAUAAAGAUUAAUUAGUCUAAAUUAUGUAAUUAAUUCAAAAUAUUUAGUCUUCAGAAUUAAAAUUAUCUCAAUCUCAUUUAAACCCAUCCGAAAUUUCCCUUCCCUAAAAAACAAAAAAACUCUUAAUAGCUUCCAAAACAUCCUUUUUAAUAAUUUUCCAAUAAUUAUGAUAGAAAAUUCCGCUAAAAUCAUUUGCAAAAAAAGAGAUUAAUUUAAUUGUUUUGUAUGCUUAACUUCUACAAUAUAAGUAAAAUCUUAUAAUUUUAUCUCUGAAUUCUCUCAACACAAAUUUCUGACCCUUAUUUAUAAUCUCAUUUGUUUCUAAGAGGAUAUCCAAUUUAAAAUUAAAUAGUCUUUUUUAUAUAAUGAAUUAUAUAUUUAUUUGAAUCUCCUCUUAAAUUAAUUAGAGUGAAGUUUCUUAUUUAGUAUUGACUGUUCCAUAAAGUAUUCAAAGUUUUCAAAUAGAUUUAUUUUUUAAGUGUAGUUAAUAACCGUAAUAAAAACUAAAUUUUAUAAGUGAUGAAUUUAUAUUAAGAAUUAUUUAAUAAAUUAAUAAAAUAUAAGUUUGAGUUCAUCUAUUUUUACAUUUCUUUCACCUACUUAAAUUAAUUCCUAAUUUUCCUAAUUUUUUUAAAUUUUAUUCCUAAUUUUUUUAUACAGGAAAUAUAAUCGAUGAGAAAAUAAUCGAGUUAGGAAAGAACAUGGUUAAACAUUGUGCAGGGCUGCCAUUAGCCAUUGUUGUAUUGGGAGGAAUUUUGGCUACAAAGAAUUAUUCAUUAAACGAAUGGCAAAAGAUAUCUGACAAUGUAAAAUCAUACUUGAAGAGAGGCAAAAAUCAGGGACCAGAGGAUGUGUUAGCAUUAAGUUAUGAUGAUUUGCCUCCUUAUCUAAGACCAUGUUUCCUCUAUCUAAGCCAUUUUCCGGAGGAUUACACGAUAGAUGUGGAUAGAUUGAUUCAAUUCUGGCUUGCUGAAGGUAUUGUGUCAUCAAAGCAAGAAAAAAGAGACGGUGGGGAAAUUGCGGAAGAUGUGGCGGAGUCUUAUUUAAUGGAGCUUGUGGAAAGGUGCAUGAUUCAAGUACGAGAAAGAGAUGUGGCAACCUUAAAGGUCAAAAAGAUUCAAAUGCAUGAUCUGAUGAGAGAUCUUUGCUUAUCAAAGGCAAAACAAGAAAAUUUUGUCUUCAUUGUUGAUCGAUCGAAUGCAUCUUCAUUAUCUAUGAUUCGGAAGGUUCGUAGGGUUUCUGUGCAUGAGUCUUUUUUCAUACAAUGCAUUAAAAGUCCAAAUAUUCGAUCACUUUUGUUCUUCAAUCAGUGCUAUCCGGAGGAGGCAUUAGAAAAAUGUUUGCCCUUGGAAGUGUUGAAUUACGUUAAAAACCAUUAUGACGAUUGUUGUAAUCCACUAUUUUGGAUUCUUCAGAUUUCGGCAGGUUCUACAGUACGUCUUAAAUUUCGGGUAUUUUGGAGAUACAUGUUCAACAACUUCAAAUUGCUAAGAGUCCUAAACUAUGACAAAGCAAGAACGUCAUAUGGUUUUUGGCCCGGGUGGGAGUUACCCAGUGAUAUAGGGAAUCUCAUCCAUUUAAGAUUCUUGAGUCUAAAGGAUGUUCUGUUCUUCCGGACAAUGUUGCCAUCAUCUCUAGGCAACUUAAGGUGCUUGCAAACCUUGGAUUUAAGAGUUAGGAAUCACAAAAUUCAUGUACCUAAUGUGAUAUGGAGGAUGGAG